RNAcentral lists this long non-coding RNA (56733 nucleotides) under Malus domestica (apple). RNAcentral's name for it is "long non-coding RNA (MDOM_LNC008970)". The record is from RNAcentral. Lineage: Eukaryota; Viridiplantae; Streptophyta; Magnoliopsida; Rosales; Rosaceae.
UGGCUGCUCAAAUGUGAAAAAUAUUCCAGAAUUUGGGGAGCAGAUGAAGAAUGUGUCCUGGAUUUCCUUAAGUGGGACUGCGAUCGAGAAAAUACCUUCAUCAAUUGGACAUUUGGUUGGCCUCAGGGAAUUGCAUGUAAGGAAUUGCAAAAAUCUCUUGAACCUUCCAAGGGCAAUUUGUAAUUUGAAGUCUCUUGAAGGGCUCUAUGUGAAUCAAUGCUCAAAGAUUGACAAACUCACUGGAGACAUGGAUCGCUUAGAGGCGCUUCGUUGGGGACCCACUAUGACACAGCCGCUUGUGAGUAUGAAAAAUCUCAAAAGUCUAGUAUUUAAGACAAAUUCUGACAUAGCCACUUGUGGAUCGGAUGGUAAAGCAAGGGAUGGGUGGGGCCUUCGCCGCUUAUUUGGACUUCAAAAGAGUCACCCUGAUCCUCCUCCUUGUUGGGGUUUGGUGUUGUCUUCUCUAAAUCGUUUAUGCAACUUGAGGAGGUUAGAGCUAAAGAAUUGUAAUCUCCGGGAGGGGGAUAUCCCCGAUGAUAUUGGCUGCUUGUCCUUUUUGAGAGAAUUGUAUCUUAGGAGAAAUAAUUUUGUCAGGUCCAUCCAAUUUUUAUGGUGGUUCUGUCACUUGCCAGAAUUGCAUUGCAUUGGUUCAAGAUGAAGACUUGAGUAAUAGGAUUCUAAAAUCUGUCAUUCAGGUACUCUCUCUCUCUCUCUCUCUCUCUCUCUCUCUCUCUCUCUCUCUCUCUCUCUCUCUCUCUCUCUCUCUCUCUCUAAAUAAUUGAUCUUUCUUCUGCUACAGGGAUUGGAAAUUGUAAUCCCUGGAAGUGAAAUUCCAAAGUGGUUCAAUAAUCAGAGUGUGAGACAUUCAAUAAAUGUGGAGCUUCCUCCACUAUCAUGUACCAACUGGCUUGGGAUUGCCUUAUGUGCUGUUUCUCUAGACCCAAACCCUAUACAAAAUGUGGAGCUUCCUUAUUGCUUUAGUUUUAGAAUUCACCGUUCAGGGAAACUUGUUAGCCCUGAAAUACUUGGCCCAGAAUACAAUUGGAAUACCUUACCGUCUCUUGUGUCAGAAAACCUUUCGGUAUUUUAUAUUCCUCGUCAAUAUUGUUUGCCUCGUGAAGAUUGUCAUUAGGAACAGUUUUUAUUUGGAGUUAUCUUUGGUAAUGUGUAUGGGAGAGACCUAAAAGCAGGCUUGGAUAAGGUGAAGAAGUGUGGGGCUCGUUUGGUGUACAAGCAAGAUUUGAAAGAACUCAAUCAAAAACAUGGGGCUCGUUUGGUGUACGAGCAAGAUUUGAAAGAACUCAAUAAAAAACUACUGAAACGAACACAUGAAAUUCGUGACGAGGUAGCUCCAAGUGGACCUGGAAGUGCUAGCUUCAACCACACAGAACAUAUUCGCAAAAGGCGUUGUAACUAGUCACCAUGUCACAAAAAAUGCAUGUAAGUAACCAUCGAUUAAUCACAUCAGCUUAAUUGUAAUCAAAAUUAUUUUUUGUUUCGACGACAUCCUAGUCAAUGUAAUCAAUCUCUCGAUCUAUAUAUUAAGAUGGCUAUAUUUAAUGAAAGGUGAGUGAAUAAGAAUGUUGAUGCAUAAAGACUUUUGCAGAUUACUUGGGCAUUAAGAAGAUUGAUUAACAAUCUGAUCAUCUUGCCUAAUGCAGUAAGUGGGUACCUUGUAAACUCACGACGCCAUGGGGGCUGGUCUGUCGGUCCUGAUCUUAAGGUUCAUUUUCUGAAGACGCCAUUAGCGUUAACAUGUACACCAGGGGUUGAAUUCAAACUUCUGUACUCUGGCAGAAAUUGAUUUGUUUCUGUCUGAUUUUGUAACUAAUGCAAACUUGUAGUCCAGAAACAGAAACGUUGCGAAGGAAACAACACUUUUUGCUCAACAACUUUGGUUUGAUUAAAACUUGGCUUUGGUGAUGCAAAAAAUAAGCAUUGAGAGUAUUUUUCCUGAGAUCAUUGGAAAGGUUGUCGUAAAACUUAGAACAGCAAAUCAUACUAAUUUUUUUAAAACCCUUUUUACACGGUAGUUUUGAAGUUUAAACUUUAAAACAGCAAAUCAUACUUUUUUUUUAUUUUUUUUAUUUGUCAAAAGCAAAUCAUACUAAUUAACUCAGCUAAGAAAUAUUCAAAUAAUCCCCGGGCAAGCUGAGAGUAUGAUUGGAAAUUAGAAGUCUGACUUGGUCUAACAUCCCCGGGCAAGCUGACAGAUUGUAGCCCAACUGGAAGCUUGGACACCAGCAGUUUAAAUCGAGAUGAAGAUAACCCUUCGUGAAUAAAUCAGCAAUUUGAUCUUGUGAACAAAUAAAAUUCACCAGUAGCUCACCUCUAAUCACCUUCUCCCUGAAAUAAUGAUAAUCAACUUCUAAGUGCUUGGUUCUUGAGUGGAAAACUGGAUUGGAUGCUAAGGCAAUGGAAGACAAAUUAUCACACCAAAUCUGUUACCUUAGAAGAUUCUAAUGUACAUCCCUAAACAACGAACAUAACCAGGGCAACUCAGCGGCGGUGUAUGCAAGCUGCCUAUAUUCAGCUUCAGUGCUAGACCUGAAAACUGUUUUCUGUUUCUUCGAACUCCACGAUAUUAAGUUUUCACCCAAGUAUACACAGAAGCCUCCAGUUGAGGCGUGUCUAGGUUCUCUACAUAAUCACAAUCAAAGCGAAAAAAAUUCACAAAUGACUAGCAAAUAGAGGAAAACUUCCAGGAGUAGUCUGAAAAUAGUUUUCUUCUUUUCCGUAAACAAGUCCGAACAUACUUUUAUUUGCAAAGCAGAUCUGUCAAAACUGGAACAAUAGAUGAAAAUAAGGGCAAUGAGGGAAAACAUUCAACACAGGAAAAGACCAAAAUCUAGAAUGAAGUAAUUUAAAAUUGCCAUAAAUUACAAAGAAAAGUAGGGUAUAACACUAAAGAGCUACAUUAGAUAUGUUAUAUAAAUUUUGGAUGGAUCAGGCAUUCUCUGUAUCCUUGAAUACUUCUCAGGUGUUCUGCUGUUUGCUUUUAUAUUGCCAUUUCACAAUAUGGAAAGCAAGGAAUUAAAUCACGUGUGCUGUUGUCAAAAAUUAAGGCAAGGCAAACUAUGGAUUGACAAUUCGUGAUUUUAUAUUACCAUUCACAAUAUGAACAGCCAGUACCAUGCAAAGUUCCGUCCCCACCCCCCUAAGGUCCAUUGGACCUAUGGCUACAGCAAGGGCGUAACCGUAUCCCCAUAUACAUGAUAACUUGGCUAAAGAAUAUCGUUUUAUAUUUAAAGGUUGCAAACACUUGCUCUAACUGAUGCCUGACCUCAUUAGCAGUAGGCCAUUUGUUAUCACUAAUCUCCAAGGUCAAUUCAAAACAGCCACCAUUUUUGUAGUUCCAAUCUUGCAUGCCUCCAUAUAUAGGGUACCUACAACAGGUGUCUUAAGAAACAAUAGAUGAAUAUCAAACAGAAGGAAAAUAUACCUAUAAUAAGUUGUAAUGUUUCAAGCCAUCAUACCAGAAAGCUCGAUUCGUAAUCCCUCCCUCAAAUUCCUUGCGCAAUGACAUAUUGUAGCGAGAGCGACUAUAUACACUUGCUAAGAACCGGAAUGUCUCGUCGUCUGGACAUGCAAAAUAAUCUUUCCUGUAAUUUAAUUUAGAUCAAAAGACAAGAGCAUAUGUGCAAAAUAAAAAUUAAUAAGCGUUUAAAAAUUAAUAAGCGUUUAAAAAUUAAUAAGCGUUAGCAUAAAUUCUGGGAUAGUGUUAUUUAGAACUUACACAUAUUGUUAGGCACCAUCCGAAAAUCCAUAAUCAUAUUAGAAGUAAUCGGCAAUGUUCAUAACAUUACAGUAACACUUUAAGACCUACUAUUGACAUCACCAUGCUUGUUUCACACUAUAAAAGAAACAUUUAAAAACGUGAACACAUUGGGCAUCAUAGGUAAAAUUAAAUAAUGAUCAAAACCUACACUCUCACUGAGGCCAACGUACAAAAGAAACAUUCAACUCUCUUGCAAAAUUCUCUGAAAGAAACAUUGGGCAUCAUAGGUAUAAAUGAAACAUUCAACUCUCUUGCAAAAUUCUCUAAAUUCUCCAAGCACUUUUCCCUCAAAAUUCUAACUUUGGCAUCAGAGGCUCUUCCGCUAAAGCCCCCCCCCCCAACUUCAUCGUGAACGCAUAAGGCUAUUGGCCUUGACCUAAGAUGUUAUUUGUUUUGUAGGUGCAAUUUUGUCCAAGAACAAGGAGGAAGAAAUUUGCAUCCACAAAUUGGUGCUUUAAUUGAGAGUUGAGUCACACACUCCUAGAAGACUCUCACAUCUAAGGUUUUUCGUUUUCUUGUUCAUUUAUAGAUUUUUCAUACAUUCUUAUUCUUAGAAUUUUUAUUUCUAAAGAUUCUUUAGUAAAACGUAAAAGAAAGGUACAAUGGCAAGGGACUCGAAAACCUCGAAGAACGAAACUUUCUAUGUUCAAAGAUCCGGAUCGAAUGACGGAGGAUGAGAUGUAAACCCACCACAACGAUCCACAAGGCACCCAGCAUAUUUAUCAAAAAAUGCUCAAACUAUCACUUGAAAUUGCAUGAACGAGUAACAAUCGAUUUACAUUCUGGGGAAUGGAAAAGGAAGAAAAGAAAGUUUUCAAGUAGCACACAGAAUACAAAAAUACUACACUGUCAGUGUAUGCACACACUCAAUAAAUUGAAAUCCGGGUAGUAUGCAAAACUUUUUCGACAAAAAGUGAAAUUCAUGACUUCAGUUUUCGACAGUAAACGCGAAAUAUGGCAGGUGGAAAAUGAAAGACUAACAAUAAAACAAAAUAUUAAUAAUAUAUUAUUAGUUGCAGUGGAAUUUAGAAACAAUGAACAUUUUAAGGAAGAAGAUGAGGGAAAUGUAAAUAUCCAAUUGCACGAGAUUUUUCGGCAUGUACUUAUACAUUAUAAUAACUCCGCAUGUGUAAGUUUAUCUUACAUUGCCGGUCCCAAGCCCGGGUAAAGGAGGAGCGGGAGGGCGUCAGGUAGUCGACAGCCGGCACUCCACAGUUAUGUCGAAUCCUUAUGAAAAUGAAUCUAGAACGAAAUCGCGCUAAAGCUAGGGCGUCACCCGUAAGUGGCGCGCUGUGUGACCCGAGCACAGUGAUAAGUGAGCAAGGGUCGCUGUAUCUCUAUCGGCACCCGGAUGCAGUGUUAAAUGAGCAAGGGGGCCAUAGAAACUUCUUUUCGACUCCACUCAAAGUUGUUUGGGAGCAUAUGCUCCUAUCAACUUUACACAGGAUACACAAAAGAAGUACUUUGAUUCUAUUGGACGGGGGAGGGUGAAGAAGCUAGGACAGAAGGGUAGAGUUCAAGAGAGUAGAAUGCGUUUAGGAACGUGGAAUAUAGGAACCUUAACGGGAAAAUCUAUGGAAGUAGUGGAAGUUAUGGUGAGGAGAAGGAUAAAUAUUAUGUGCCUACAAGAAACUAAGUGGGUUGGUCUUAAGGCAAAGGAUCUAGAAAACUCAGGGUUUAAACUUUGGUAUUCGGGCACAAAUAGAACGAGAAACGAUGUUGGCAUCAUCGUGGACAAGACCUUGACACAAGAUGUUGUAGAUGUCAAGAGGGUAGGAGAUAGAAUCAUGGCAAUCAAGAUUGUAAUAGGACAAGAACUCGUCAAUGUGAUUAGUGCGUACGCACCUCAAGUAGGGUUGGAUACGAGUUCGAAGGAGAAAUUUUGGAAAGACCUUGGAGACUUGGUGCAAGGAAUUGCCCGGACGGAGAAGUUAUUUAUAGGAGGAGAUUUAAAUGGACACGUGGGCAGGGAGACAGGCAACUAUGGAGGUUUUCAUGGUGGCCAUGGUUUUGGGGAGAGAAACGAGGAUAGGGAAGCUAUCUUGGAUUUUGCAAUGGCAUAUGAUCUCUUCUUAACCAACACCUUCUUUAAGAAGAGAGAAGAACAUGUGAUCACCUACAAGAGUGGGUCGUCAAAAACACAAAUAGAUUUUCUUCUAAUGAGGAAAGGGGAUCGUAUAACUUGUAAGGAUUGCAAAGUUAUACCGGGAGAGAGCUUGGCUAAUCAACAUCGCUUGUUGUUGAUGGAUGUACAUAUCAAAAAAGUGAGAAAAAAAGAACAAGACUUGGAAGUGCCCAAGGACUAGAUGGUGGAAUCUAAAAGGAGAAAAACAAGCCAUUUUCAAAGAGAAAAUAAUCACCCAGUGUGGGUGGGAUAGAGAGGGGGAAGCUAGCCAAAGGUGGGAUUCCAUGGCUAGUUGUAUCCGAAAAGUAGCAAAAGAGGUAUUAGGAGAGUCCAAGGGCUUUACUCCACACCAAAAGGAAUCUUGGUGGUGGAAUGAGGAGGUACAAACAAAGGUGAAGGCUAAGAAGGAAUGUUGUAAAGCCUUAUACAAGGACAUGACCGAUGAAAAUGGUGAAAGGUAUAGAAGAGCGAAGCAAGAGGCAAAGAAAGCUGUGAGAUAAGCUAAGUUAGCGGCUUAUGACGAUAUGUAUAAGCGACUAGAUACCAAAGAAGGAGAGUUGGAUAUCUAUAAACUAGCUAGAGUAAGGGAAAAGAAGACAAAGGACCUAAACCAAGUGAGGUGCAUCAAGGAUGAGGAUGGAAAGGUUCUUGCUACAGAGAACGCAGUCAAAGACAGAUGGAGAGGUUAUUUUCAUAAUCAUUUCAAUAAAGGACAUGAAAGGAGUACUUCUUUAGGGGAGUUGAGUAACUCAGAAGAGUGUAGAAACUACUCCUUUUAUCGUCGAAUCAGGAAGGAAAAAGUGGUUGUAGCUUUGAAGAAGAUGAAGCAUAGAAAAGCAGUGGGCCCAGACGAUAUACCGAUCGAAGUGUGGAAAGUCUUGGGAGAGACAGGUAUAGCAUGGCUCACUGACCUUUUCAAUAGGAUUUUGAAAACGAAGAAGAUACCAAAUGAGUGGCGAAAGAGCACUUUGGUGCCUAUCUACAAGAACAAGGGCGACGUACAAAAUUGCAUGAACUAUAGGGGUAUUAAGCUAAUGAGUCAUACAAUGAAGCUCUGGGAGAGAGUCAUUGAGCAUAGAUUGAGGCAAGAGACACGGGUUUCGAACAACCAAUUCGGGUUCAUGCCAGGGCGCUCAACAUGGAGGCAAUCUAUCUCUUACGAAGAUUGAUGGAAAGAUAUAGAGAUGGGAAAAAUGAUUUACACAUGGUCUUUAUAGAUUUGGAAAAAGCAUAUGAUAGGGUCCCAAGAGACAUUCUUUGGAGGAUUUUAAAGAAGAAAUGAGUACGAGUGGCAUAUAUCCAAGCUAUAAAGGGUAUGUAUGAAGGAGUAAAGACUGCCGUAAGAACUUAUGAAGGACAAACCGAAAGCUUCCUCAUAACUGUAGGAUUACAUCAAGGCUCAUCCUUAAGUCCUUACCUUUUUGCGUUGGUAAUGGAUGAGUUAACAGGACAUAUUCAAGAUGAUAUUCCUUGGUGUAUGCUUUUCGCAGACGAUAUAGUGUUGAUAGAUGAAACUCAGGAAGGGGUAAAUGCAAAGCUUAACCUUUGGAGAGAAGUGUUGGAAUCUAAAGGUCUUCGCCUAAGCCGAUCAAAGACAGAAUAUAUGGAGUGCAAGUUCAGUGCAAAUGGAGGCCAAAAUGAGUUAGGGGUGAGGAUUGGCGAUCAGGAAAUACCAAAGAGCGAUCGUUUUCACUACUUAGGAUCUAUCUUGCAAAAGAACAGAGAAUUAGAUGAAGAUCUUAACCAUAGAAUACAAGCUGGAUGGAUGAAGUGGAAGAGUGCAUCCGGCGUGUUGUGUGACCGUCAUAUGCCACUGAAGCUCAAGGGAAAAUUUUAUAGGACGGCAAUAAGGUCGGCGAUGCUGUAUGGCACAGAAUGUUAGGCAGUGAAGCAUCAACACGUACACAAAAUGGGUGUAGCGGAGAUGAGGAUGCUUCGUUGGAUGUGUGGGAACACGAGAAAGGAUAAGAUUAGGAAUGAGGAUAUCCGAGGUAAAGUAGGAGUAGCCGAAAUUGUAGGAAAGUUUAGAGAAAAUCAGUUACGGUGGUUUGGACAUGUGCAAAGAAUGCCUACUGACACUCUGGUUAGAAGAUGCGACUACGGGACAGAGGUCCAGGGCCGAAGGAGUAGAGGAAGACCUAGGAAAAUUUUGGAAGAGACUCUAAGAAAAGACUUAGAGUAUUUGGAUUUAACGGAGGACAUGACACAGGACCGAGCACAAUGGCGUUCUAAGAUUCAUAUAGCCGAUCCCACUCAGUGAAGAAGGCUUUGGUGUAUUUAACACAAUACGUUGGAAAUGAAGCAAAGCUUAUUUAUUGAUAUCUCUGAUAAGUUACAAAUAUGUACAUAUACAUGAGUCAAAAUAAACAAACAAGAGGGAGCUUUCACAAAGGUUACUUAGGAGAAGUCUUAGCAAUCGGUAGAGCCCCAGAAAGAGAAGGCACCGAGGGGGAUCAUUCGGAGCCUUAGUACUGGACAGAACCCUAGAAGGAGGAGACAUCAGAGGUUGAUCAUUUAGAGCUUCAUUAUGCGGUACAGCCCCAGAAGACGAAGGCAAUAAAUGCCUUUGGAACAAACCCACAAACCGCUGAUGAUCAAGUAAAACCUGACCAUCAGAUUCCUUCAUCUGGUCAAGCUUCCUAUUCAUGUUUGUAGCAUAGUUAUGUGCGAGCCGAUGCAACUGUUUAUUCUCAUGCUUGAGCCCUCUAAUCUCCUAUUUGAGACUCAUCACUUCAGCCGCCAAUGAUUCAACUUGGCGGGUUCGAGCAAAUAGGCGUUGGGCCAUAUUAGACACAGAACCUGCACACUGAACACUCAGAGCCAAAGAAUCCUUCACAGCCAAUUCAUCAGAUCGUUUGGAAAGUAGUCUGUUAUCUUUGGGAGUGAGAAGGUUCCUGGCCACCACCGCAGCGGUCAUAUCAUUCUUCAUCAUGGAAUGCCCAACGGUAAAAGGACCAGUAGGGGAUAAGAAGGAUGGGCGCCAUAUGUUGUCUGGAGAAGGCGUGGCUGCCUCUUCAACAAGGUUCAAGUCAAAACGACGGUCGGAGGGGCCAGACAUUUUCAAAGGUGUUGAAGAGAGAAGAGGUUGAACAAAUCAAGAUCUUAGAAGUGCAAUAAGUGAGCUUCUACUGGUGAAGAUUCAAGUGUGCUUUGAAACUUAAUGUCAGCCUCUAUAAAAAUCUGCACUCGACGGAGCUUCAGAAAUCGAAGAGGCGUCUGCCCAGAAAUCAAAGAGGCGUCUGCCCAGAAAUCAAAGAGGCGUUUGCUUUCUCAAAAGCUGGGCUGCUCAGAGACCAUGAGGGUCGAUCUCAGAAAUCGAAGAGGCGUUUGCUUUCUCAAAAGCUGGGCUGCUCAAAGACCACGAAGGUCGAUCUCAGAAAUCGAAGAGGCGUUUGCUUUCUCAAAAGCUGGGCUGCUCAAAGACCACGAAGGCCGAUCUCAGAAAUCGAAGAAGCGCUUGCUUUCUCAAAAGCUGGGCUUCUCAGAGACCACGAGGGCCGAUCUCAGAAAUCGAAGAGGCACCUGCUUUUUUCAGCCUUGUCAGCACCUGUCACAUGCACACUCAGCUUUGCUGAAUUACGGGCAUUCUGUUGAAGAUUUCUGGUGAAGUGAAAAGCAAGUGAAUCUUACUGUUCAAUCAUCCACUUUUCACACGCACCAUCAGCUCAUGGGUACCACAGAUAACUUUGCCAAAGAUCUCUGACAAAGUUUAUACACGUGAAGCUUGCAGCUCCCACUACAUCGCUAUGACCAAGAAGGGUAAAAGAAUAGCAAAGAAACAACACUAACAAAGUUUAGACACAUAAAUUUUGAAGGUCUAGCUAUCAUAUUAUUACCCACAAGGGUAAAGGAACAGCACCACUGCUGGAUAAUUGGAAAGUCCUUGUGUGUCAACCUCUGUGCUCCGUGGCAAGGUAGAAUAGCAAACAUGCCCUACCUUUACUCACAUUCGAGAAAACACUCCCAACAAGAUUGCUUGCUCCAAAAUCGAAGAGGCACCGUCCUCCGACUCUCGAGAGCCAGACUCUCAACAUGAUUACUUUCUCAAAAAUCGAAGAGACACCACUCUCCGAAUCUCGAGAGCCAGACUCCCAGCAUGAUUGCUCUCUCAAAAAUCGAAGAGGCAUCGUUCUCCGAAUCUCGAGAGCCAGAUCCCCGACAGGAUUGCUUGUUCGAAAACCGAAGAGGCACCGCUUUCUCAACUUCGAGAGCCAGAUCUCCUUGGAUAAAGCUUGUCUGUAAUCUUCACGCAACAUCAGCUUUUCAGAUACCACAGACCACUUUUUCAAAGUGCUCUGACACACGUGAAGCUGGCAGCUCCCACUACCGUGCUAUGACUAAGCAGGGUAAAGGAAUAGCAUUACUACUUGUUGUUAGGGAGACUCCUAUAUAUGUCGACCUUCAUCCUCAACGGACAGGCAAACCUGCAAAAAUGCUCGACCCUUCCUCAUAUCUGAGAGGGCACUCCCGACGAAGCCUCUCAAAAUACUCAGCUUUCUUUCCCCCCGAUAAUACCUCUGCAACAAGCUACACCAGAGCAAGAAUAUCUAAUAUCAUCAGGGUUAAAAGCAAGAGUAUCCCAUAUCAUGCUUUUUUCCUUGUCUUUUCCUUUGGCCUUGUUCUUACCUGCAAGACAAGGAGAAAGAGAGCAAUCAGUCAGCAUUUGGAAUCAAGCUUCCAGUCAGGAACUGACUGCCUGGAACCCCUUACCUGAUUACUUACCUGGCAUUGCUCUCGAGUACUCAUCUUCAACAUCUUAUGCUUCCAGAGAAGACACCACAUCUGCCUAAGAAACCGAUAGGGAAAGUGAAAAGGAUACAAGGAAACAUGUGGAGACAAGCGUAACAGAACACGUGCCGAUACAUCCACUACUUUGUCAACAGCAAAAGUAUCCCAUAUCAGCACGGUCGAACGUACUCUAGAUUUGAUGGACUUGUUUUUGACCCUCAAAUUCUUCAGUCGGCCUUAUACUUUGGAGGAAACCAGAAAACCCUCCAGCCCAGUUCAAGAAUAAGCCUAUGGAAAGUUACUUCUUCAAAAGCAAAAGUAACUCAUAUCAUCUAUUCUCCUUUUCUUCUCUUUAUCCGCUGCCUGCAAGAUAGGGAGAAUGAGAACAAUCAGCCGGAACUCGAAAUCAAACUUCUGAUCUGGGACUAAUUGCUUGGAGCUCUGAUUGCUUACCUUGUUUAUCACCUCUUUCAGCAGAUCCCCUUGCUCGGCGACUUGGGGGACUCCUACUACAUGGUUUGUAUCGCGCUUGACCAAGCCUGAAACUACAAGUAAGCUUCAAGUGAAAUUGAUACAUUACCUUGUGCAUCUCCACCAGUUAAAGAUACCACCCCUGGAUGGAGGAAGAGUACUUAGAAGUUUCGUGAUUACGAGAUCAUUCUCCCACAAUAUUUCCUAAUGUCACUUGUACUCAAUCAUUCAUUUGUACUCACUAAAGGAGAGCUUGAACCUAUGUACUUGUGUAAACCCUUCACAAUUAAUGAGAACUCAUUUACUCCGUGGACGUAGCCAAUCUGGGUGAACCACGUACAUCUUAUGUUUGCUUUCCUGUCUCUAUCCAUUUACAUACUUAUCCACACUAAUGACCAGAGCAGCAAUAACUUAAUACUUUCUGUUGUACCAAAGUCCUCACUGAUUUUGUGUGCAUCAACAAUCCUUAAGUCCUUAACCUUUUGCGUUGGUAAUGGAUGAGUUAACAGGACAUAUUCAAGAUGAUAUUUCUUGGUGUAUGCUUCUCGCAAAUGAUAUAGUGUUGAUAGAUGAAACUCAGGAGGGGUAAAUGCGAAGCUUAACCUUUGGAGAGAAGUGUUGGAAUCUAAAGGUCUUCGCCUAAGCCGAUCAAAGACAGAAUAUAUGGAGUGCAAGUUCAGUGCAAAUGGAGGCCAAAAUGAGUUUAGAGGCGAGGAUCGGAGAGAUCAGGUAAUACCAAAGAGCGACCGUUUUCGCUACCUAGGAUCUAUCUUGCAAAAGAACGGAGAAUUAGAUGAAGAUCUCAACCAUAGAAUACAAGCUGGAUGGAUGAAGUGGAAUAGUGCAUCCGGCAUGUUGUGUGACCAUCGUAGGCCACUGAAGCUUAAGAGAAAAUUUUAUAGAACGGCAAUAAGGCCGGCGAUGCUGUAUGGCACAGAAUGUUGGGCGGUGAAGCAUCAACACGUACACAAAAUGGGUUGGACAUGUGCAAAGAAGGCCUACUGACGCUCCGGUUCGAAGAUGUGACUACGGGAUAGAGGUUCAGGGCCGAAGGGGUAGAGGAAGACCUAGGAAAACUUUGGAAGAGACCCUAAGAAAAGACUUAGAGUACUUGGAUCUAACGGAGGACAUGACACAAAACCGAGCGCAAUGGCAUUCUAGGAUUCAUAUAGCCGACCCCACUUAGUGAGAAAAGGCUUUGUUGUUGUUGUUGUUGUUGUACUUAUACAUUAUAAUCUUUGUCAUGUUACAGCUUCUCAGUUUCAUUAUAAGUUUCUUGUGGUCUCGUAGCAGUUUCCUUUAUUCUUUCCAUACAAGAUCAGAGAAAAAGUAACAAAAAAUUGUGACUAAAAACUGCCCUCAAAACACAUACAAUUGAUAGAGUCUGUCCUUUCUCAGGGACAAGUAACAUAAUUGAACUAGCGGAAUGAAUAAAACUUUUCUAAAGAGUGCAGAUGGAUAUUCUCCAACACCAGAAUCAACUCAAUUCGGUGGUAAACAGGUAUUGCACCCUUCUGGAUUCAAAGGUGCAAUAAGCUAGAAGCUACAUCGCACUUUUUUAACUUCCACUAAUAAGAAAUCAAUGUAAUUAAGUUUCUGACCCUUAUUCAGCGUUAUUGUUGCAAAAAGAUUUUCUGGUACUGGUGCCUGAAUCCUUAUUACACAGCUCUAUGGUUAAUUUCAGUUUCAAGCAGCUGCAAGGACUAAUUUGUGCUAAUCUUGAAGGAAUCAAAGCAUGUUCCUGUUCUUUUGAAUCAUAACUUUUUCUGGGUUAUGGAACAAAUAUAAUUUCCACGUUAUUAUUUUUUUCAAAAAAAAAAAUUCUACGUUAUUAUUAUUUACAGAAGGGAAGGGGGGACGCUAACGCAUUUUCCUUCAAAAAUCCUGCCAUGUUCCAAAAAAUUGAUUGUAUACAGGAAGGAUUAAAAUUUCAGGAUUCAAAAGUUUUUACCAAAUGGCGGCUUCAGGCUCUUCCACCCCGGGCUAAGCAGAAAUUGUUACUACCCACUACAGGCAAUAAUACAUCAAACAUUACCAACUUCAUAAGAUGUGAGUCAAGAUGUUAUUCUAAUAAAUAAAACUAAAGCGACAAAAACAAAGAGGAAAACUUCAGUGAAACGAUUACCAGCGGAACCCUAUUCACACUCUUCUCUAUUCACAUUUUCGGUAAACAUAUAAUUAUAUCAAAUUAGAUUAUAUAAUUCUUGUUAAGCUACUAAGCUUCAACUUUAGUGAUAAAUACCGCGUCUGAGACUCCUUCUCUUCAAACAAUUGCCUGCCGGAACCAGCGCGAGGACCAAAUUCGAAACCUAUCAACAUUUAAUUUACAAUUAGCUAAAUUCUUAAUGCUUAAAGAUUUAGUUUCCUUUUCUAGUAGCGCUAAUCCACCUAAAAUGUAAAGAAUUUAAGGAAGCAAUAGGCAUGAUAAUCUAUCUGAUCAUAAUUAACUACCGUUUGGUACCUGAAAUAUCAAAGGAAAAUUUUUCAAUUUACUUCUUGUUCUUGUAAUCUCAGUUUUUCAACUCCCAAAGAACUAAAUGCACACACAUGAAUAUAGAAUGCAUACAAAUACAAGGACGGAGCUACCAUGGGCCUAGGGGGGCGGAUGCCCCCAUUGAGAUUUUUCUGACGCUGGGAUGCUGCUCAAAUUGAGCUGGGUUUGCAGCAGCAAAGCCCCCACUGAACUCAUCUGGUUCUGCUCUCCGACCUGGUUCUGCAAGAAGCAGAGCUGGGUCUUAUAUUUUUUUUUUUUUAAAUCCAGGCCAAAACGACGUCGUUUUGGUCCUGGUACAAAAAAAAAAUAAAUGAAACAGCGUCGUUUCGUAUAUGUUAACAAAAAAGAAAGUAUGUUAAAGGUGGACUGUGGGGACAAGCGGUCCCCCCUUUAAUCUCUAACCCCAUUCCCUGAUUCCUUCCCAUCUCUCUGUUCCUUUUUAUUUCCCUUGCCAAACAGAGAGCAGCGUGGUGCUACUCUCUUUCCCCAAAUUCCCAACAUCUUGAAACUGAACAGAACAGGAGCAAGGUGUUGUUCCCAGCCACGCCAACAGUUAGCCACUCCAGCCAGCUACUCUCUAGCCGACAUAUAUAUAUUUAUGGUAAAAUUCUUAAUUCCUAAAUCUAUAAUCCCUAACCCUAAUUAAUUAUUUAAGACGUUGGGAAAGGCAAAAAUCAAGAAACUACUUUGAAACGUGCUGGAGAAACACGUUGGGGUUCACACUUUGGUACUUUAGUAAGUAUCAUGACUAUGUUUUCAUCCAUACUUGAUGUACUUGAAGUAAUAGCAGAUGAUGGAGUAAGCUCUCAACAAAGAUGUGAAGCAAAUAAUUUAUUGGAUUCCAUGCAAUCAUUUAAUUUUGUGUUUAAUCUACACUUGAUGAAAGAUAUACUAGGAAUAACCAAUGAAUUGUCACAAGCAUUGCAAAGGAAGGAUCAGGAUAUUGUAAAUGCAAUGAAGUUGGUUGGAGUUUGUAAGCAAAGGUUGGAGAUAAUGAGGAAAAGUGGUUGGGAUUCUUUACUUAGUGAAGUCUCAGAAUUUUGUCUUAAACAUGAUAUUGAUGUGCCUAAUAUGGAUGAUAUGUUUCUUUCUCGAAGGCGAGGGCAACGAAAAGCACAAGCAGUCAUAAAUAUGCAUCAUUAUUGUGUUGGGAUAUUUUAUGUUGUUUUGGAUUGGCAGCUUCAAGAACUAAAUAAUCGUUUCAAUGAGACCAACACUGAGUUACUUCUUUGUUUGGCAUGUUUAUGUCCAGCCGACUCCUUCUCUGCUUUUGAUAGCCAAAAGCUAUUGCGUCUUGCCCAGUUUUAUCCUAAAGACUUCUCUAUGAAUGAGCUGGUGAUACUUAAGAUUCAACUUGAGACUUACAUUAUGGAUAUGCGGUCUAGCAUUGAGUUUUCAAGUUUAAAAGAGAUUGGAGAUCUUGCAAAAAACAUGGUUCAAUGCAAAAAACACAAGGUGUAUUCGCUGGUUUACUUGUUUGUGACAUUAGCACUAACUCUUCCAGUUGCUACUGCAACCGUUGAAAAAGCAUUUUCGGCCAUGAAAAUUCUGAAGAAUCGAUUGAGAAAUCGAAUGGGAGAUCAAUGGAUGAAUGAUAACAUGGUUAUUUUUAUAGAGAGAGAGAGAUAUUUAAUGGUAUUGGUAAUGAUGUUGUCAUGCAACGCUUUCAGAACAUGAAAACACGUCGAGGGAUAUUGUAAGGGACUGUUGUAUGAAAAACUUUUUGGAUUAAUAUAUAAGUAUUGUGUUUAGUAAAUUCUUGAGCUUUUUAAUUAUGACUUUGUUGUUUGAGGAUGACCCCAUUCACACACAGCAGUUCUGGCUUCGUCCCUGUACAAAUAUGUAUGUAUGUGUGUGUGUGUGUGUGUGUGUGUGUGUGUGUGUGUAUGACAGAUGAGGAGACGGGGACCUGGAGGGUAGGAACUGUGAAGGCCGCCUCUAGCGGUGGCAGGACGAAGAAAAGAGGAGAAGCCUGAGAGAGAGAGGAACAGGAUGGAAAGAGCAAGCUUCAUGAUGUGAUCUUUGGAUUGACGAUGGUGGCGAUGGAGCUCCAGAAUCGAAUUCAGGAAGCCAUUGUUGGAACUUGGAAGGAGUAAAAGAAGAUGAAAACGUAACGACGAAGAUUGGAGAUGCUGGAUCUCGGGGGGAAAAUGGGCUGCAAAUUCCAUUGGAAGCGAAGUAACGGGGACUUCGAGAUAUGGGUUGCAUAUGAAUCUCGGCCCAUUUUUCAAACCGCCCGAACCAAACUAAAUUCUAUAGGUUGAUUUUUUUUUUUUAAUAAACAACAAUAUUUUACAUUAUAGGGCUUCAAUUGGCAUAACAAGAUUUAAAGUUUCUAAUUUUUUUUUCAUUGCUCAUUUUUUGUUUUUCUUGUUCAUUGACUACUGUUUUUGUUUGCAAAACCCAUUUUUCGGUAAAUGAAUAUGACUCAACAACUUAAACUGAGUUAAUGGGGACUGUAAGAUCAAAUCAAAUUGUCAAAUAUGUGUUGACACUAAGUCAUAUAUUUGACCGCAGUGAGUUCAUGUAGUUACGAAUAAAAAUUGUAUCUUGUAAUUGAUAAACCUAAUAAUUCUACAGGUUAUCCACGUCAGCAAUCCUUGUCAACUCAGCAACCACAGUCCGCAAUAUAUGGUUCUCACUCAACCACUCCAACACAGAGUUUGGAUAACACACAAUGUCCUCAACAGAUUGAGAAGGAUCAUAGUCCUCCUUAAACAUGACUCUAUCAUCAUAGUGUACCUUAGCUUUCUGUUAUGUAUUUUUGUAAUUUGAAUUCGAUUGUAAUUCUGAUACCAGAUUCAUUGUAAUCUUGUAAAGCCUAUAUAAUGAAGUACAUGACUCACUCAUAAUUAAUUGAGUUGAGCUUAUGCAAUUGAUUAUUUCAACCCUAGCUUGAAUUCUUUCAUGGUAUCUCAGAGCUAAAGUCUCACCACAAAAACAAAUUUUUUUUUUUUCAUGGCGUCCUCUUCUUCUCCCUUACCUAAUGCCUCCAAUUUUCUCACCCUUAAACUUGAUCGUACCAACUACCCUCUCUGGCAAGUUCAGAUGCUUCCUCUUCUCCGCAGUCGCAAUCUUGUCUCUUUUGUCGAUGGCACCAGUCAAUGCCCCCAGCAUUUCUGCAAGAUGCAGAUGGCAACAUCACUGACAAAGUCAAUCCUGACUUCGAAACCUGGAUUCAACAGGAUGCUACAUUUCUGUCCUGGAUUAAUUCUUUUGUUCACCCCACUGUCCUUGCUGCUUUAAUUGGGAAAACCAGUUCUCACUCUGCUUAGACAACCUUCCGUGACCGCUAUGCCUCUCAGUCAACCGGCCGUCUUCUUCAGCUUCACAGUGAGUUGAUGAAUACUCACAGAGGUGAUUCCUCCAUUUCUGAAUUUUUAGAUAAAAUCAAUUGUCUAGCAGAGACUCUCUCUCUCUGGUGCUCCUGUUUCAGACUCCGACAUUGUCGCCAUCAUCCUUAACAAUGUUGGUCCUGUUUAUGAGAGCAUGGUUGCCUCCGCUCAAGCUCGUGACGAGGCCAUCACCUACAGUGCUUUGGAAGCACUCCUCAUUGGCGCUGAAAGAAGACAGAAAUUGCGUUUUGCUUUUACUACUGACACCGACCCAACUGCCUUUGCUGCAGUUCACAAUGGUGGUCGUUCAUCUCCCAGUUUUUGCGGUCGUGGCUCAUCUUCUACAUUCCGAGGUCGCAACAGUCCCACUGGUGGUCGUUGGUCCUCUUCUCGGCCAUGCAACUCCCCAGGUUCUCAUCAUGGAUCUCACCAACAUUCUCACUCUCGCCAACCUGAUGGUCUUCUUGGUCAAUCUCCAAGUUCUUUUCCUACUGGUCGGAUCCAAUGCCAAAUUUGUAACAUACAUGGUCAUUCGGCAAUCGGCUAUUUCAACCGUCUCAACCUGUCUUAUGAAGGGCGUGUUCCAGCGCCAAAACUUCAAGCCUAUACUGCUGGUGUUCCCCCUGCCUCUGCUAGUGCUCCAGCUCUCCAGAAUUGGCUUUUCGACUCUGGUGCCAAUGCCCACAUCACCAAUAAUCCAGCUCAGGUGUUUAAUCCUUGUCCUUACCAUGGUACUGACCAAGUCAAUGGUGUAGUAGGUGGAACAGGUUUGCACAUCUCUCAUAUUGGAAACUCUUGCAUUCGCACACCCAAAGCCAUUUUUAAAUUACCCAACACACUAUUUUGCCCUACUGCAUCCACCAAUGUCAUAUCCAUUCAUAAAUGUACCACUGACAACAACUGUUCCCUAACCUUAUAUCCAAAUUCCUAUGGUGUUCAGGAUCUUCACAUGGGGAAGACACUUUUCCAAGGCCCGAGUAGAGAUGAUUUCUACCCUUUUUCCAGUAUUUCAUCAUGCAAUAAAGGAGUCUCUACAUUCAUAGGUGCUAGGGUGUCCAAUCAUGUUUGGCACUCUAGAUUAGGUCAUCCAUCAACUCAUGUUUUGAAUUCUUUAAUUUUCAAGAAUAAGUUACCCGUGAAUGGUGUUGUAACUAGUGACUUUUGUCACUCCUGUCCACUCGGCAAGAGUCACAAGUUACCCUUUACUUUGUCUAGUUCUAGGUCAACUUUUCCUUUACAAUUAAUUCAUUCGGGUGUAUGGACUUCUCCCUAUGUUUCAAUCAAUGGAUUUAAGUAUUAUGUAGUAUUUAUUGAUGACUUUUCUAGAUACUCCUGGUUAUAUCCAUUAAAACUAAAAUCAGAUGUUUUUUCUACCUUUGUAAAUUUUAAAAAAUUAGUUGAAAACAUGUUUAGCACCACAAUCAAAUCCUUUCAAACCGAUGGUGGCAGUGAAUAUAUUAAUAAUAAUUUCAAAACUUUUUUUACUUAUCAUGGUAUAUAUCAUCGUUUCACAUGUCCUCAUCAUCCCAAACAAAAUGGUAUUUUCAGAAUGUAAACAUCGUCAUAUUGUUGAAACCGAUCUUACUCUUCUUGCUCACGCAUCUUUACCCACUUCCUUUUGGGAUGAUGCUUUUCAUACUGCAACUUAUUUAAUCAAUCAGUUACCCACUAAGGUCUUGAAUGAUGAGUCCCCAUUUCAAAAACUCUUUCUCAAAACUCCUCAUUAUGAUAUUCUUCUUAAAAUAUUUGGCUGUGCAUGUUUCCCAUAUCUUAAGCCAUACAACUCCAAUAAAUUACAGUUCCGUUCUACCCGUUGUGUGUCUUUCUUCUUGGUUACUCAUUAAAUCAACAAGGUUAGAGCAACUUCACCCUUGGAGCCCUUCCCCCUGGCAAUCCACUAUUGAAUCCACCAUAUUGAACAGUAACUGCCUUUAAUGAAUAGUAACUACCUUUAAUGAACAGUAAUUAUCUUUUGCAUCUCCACACUUGGAACUCUCCCCCUGACAAUAAGUAAUAAAAUAUUAGUUUUUUUUUGUUUGUUUAAAUAAUAUAAAAUAAAAAAAACAUGGAAAUGGGGCUGCAGGCCCUCGGGCUGACACAAAAAAAAAUAAAAAAAAAUGCUUAGCCCUCGGGCUGCAGGCCUGUCAAUUCCCCACCCCCCUUGUGCUCGGGCUCUCUAAGGCUGGAGGGUUGUCCACCUGGCCUCGGGCCCUUUCCUGGUGCCUGUCCCCCGAGCAAUCCACAAGGAUGGACUUGCUCUUAUAAGUGUCUAGAUAUGUCUACCGGUCCCGUCUUCUUGUCACGUCAUGUUCAUGUUGUCUUGAUGAAACUACUUUUCCCUAUAAAGAAACCACCUCUACUCCGUUUUCUUCUUCUCCCUCCUCACCUAACAUCAUAAUUAAUAUUGACCCCCCCAUGCCCACUUUUCAACCCAUGUCGCGUCUUCUUGUCACGUCAUGUUGUGAAACUAUUUUUUCCUAUAAAGAAACCACCUCUACUCCGUUUUUUCUUCUCCCUCCUCACCUAACAUCAUAAUUAAUAUUGACCCCCACCAUGCCCACUUUUCAACCCAUUUCCCCGACAUCACCUACACCUAUCUCUUCCAUCCCUAAUGCUACCCCAUGUCCUACGCCUACCCCACUUCCAUCACCUAUACCCAUUUCUGCCACCCCUAUUUCACCUCCAUCACAUCUUCCUGCCAAAACACUUCCCACUCCACCCGUCCCUUCUGCCAACCCCACGCCGUCCUCCUUCAAUCCUCCAGCUAAUAAUUCACCCUUAGAUCCCCUAGUAUCUCUCCACCCUGCGACUGCAAGUACAUCCACUACCAAAAGAAGAUUUAAAGUUUCAAAUUCUUUUUAUAAAUCUAAAACAUUGAUCUUCUAUCUUUUUACUUGUUCACUCAGUUACUGUCUGCAAUACCCGAUUACAACAACUGUUUUCUUCGAUGGCAUUGACUUUGAGCACCAAUAGAGCCUCGGCAUCUUUUCUUUUCAAUGAAUCAGCUCCUCGAUGGAAGUAUGAUGUGUUUUUGAGUUUCAGGGGUGUAGACACCCGCAAGGGUUUUGUAUCCCAUUUACACCAUGAAUUGUCCAAGUGCCAAGGAAUUACGACUUUCAUGGACGAUCGAGAGCUUCAAGGAGGAGCAAGUAUUCAUGUUGAGCUACCAAGUGCGAUCAAAGAAUCGCAUAUUGCAAUUGUUGUUCUCUCACCAAACUAUGCUUCUUCCAAAUGGUGCUUGGAUGAACUCACAACCAUUCUUCAAUGCAUGGAAGCCAGGAACUCAGUUCUGCCGGUCUUUUAUCAGACAGAUCCAUCUGACGUCGGAAAUCAACGGGGAUGUUUUGCCGAAGCCUUCGCGGAGCAUGAAGAAAAGUUGAUCAGUAUCGAAGGCAAAAAGAAGGUGCUCCAAUGGAAAGCUGAUCUAAAGCGAGUGUCCAAAAUUUGUGGUUGGACUUCGAAGGAAUCUAAGUAAGCAUGAACAACUUUAAUUUCCCAUGUCUUAGUAGAGUCAAAAUUGAAUGCUUCGUUUAUGUUUUUUCAAUGGUUAUUUUUAUUUAUACCAUGUAGGUGUGUGAAAGUGAGCUUAUACAAAAAUCGUUAAAAGUGUGUGGAGGAAAGUGCAAGCUACACUCCCGUUGUUAGAUUCCUCACAAAAAUUAGUUGGGGUUAAUUUUGGGCUUGGGCAACUAAGUUCUCUAUUAGCUCAUGAUGUCAAUGAUGUACGCUUUAUAGGGAUAACGGGGAUGGGUGGCAUAGGUAAGACAACCCUUGCUAAGCUUGUUUAUGAUAGAAUCUUUCAUCAUUUUGAAGUUCACUGCUUUCUCGGCAACCUUAGAGAGGUUUCUAAUGUUUGAUCUUCAAAAAGACUUCUUUUUCCCGGUGUUGAGGGAAAAGAUUGAAAGAAAUUUGGGAUGAAGAGCGCGAAAUCAUUUUCACUAAGAAGUGCUUGCGCAACAAAAAAGUUCUUCUUGUACUUGAUGAUGUGGAUCACAUAAACCAGCUACAAGUACUAGCUGGAAACGAAGAUUGGUUUGGCAUGGGAAGUAGAAUUAUCAUUACAACUAGAAAUGAACGUCUGCUAGUCCAGCAUGACAUAACAUUAUGUCAUAAUGUCAAAGUGUUAGAUAAAGGCGCAGCUCUUGCACUGUUUAGCCUUCAUGCCUUUUAAGAAAAAUCUGCCCGAGGAUGGGUUUUGGGAACUGUCAACGUAUUUCAUUAAUUAUGCUGGAGGCCUUCCAUUAGCUCUUGAAACUUUGGGGUCAGCAUUGUUUAAGAGAAGGCUAGACACUUGGAAUAGUGUGUGGGAUAAUCUGUCAAAAACUCCUAAUCCAGCAAUUUUUGAUAAACUUAAAAUAAGUUUAUGAUGGACUAGAAGAGAGUGGGAGAAGAGAAUUUUUCUCGACGUUGCAUGUUUCCACAAAGGGAAGUACACGAAUGAAGUAAUUAAAAUGCUAGAUAAUUCUCUUGGAAUCUCUAGUAGUAGUAUGAUAGAUGUACUAAUUGAGAGAUCUCUCAUCUAUCAAGAUCAUGAAAACUGCAUACGGAUGCAUGAUUUGAUUCAAGAAAUGGCAUGGACAGUUAUUGUUCAAGAGUCUAAGAGAGCCUGGUCAACGUAGUAGGUUGUGGCUUUACAAUGACAUUGAUCAUAUAUUCACGACGAAUACGGUAAAAAGUUAAAUACUAAGUUUGGAAGAAGAUAUGAUUUCUUUUGACACUAUAUUAUUAUAUGAAAUUAAUUCGUCAUUUUUUUUUCCUUUAACUGUUAGGGAACAGGAGCAAUUGAAGCCAUAUCCUUACGCCUGCUCAAAGUAGAAGAGGUACGCCAGUGGAAUUGCGAAGCCUUCUCAAAGAUGGAUGGACUGAGGUUUUGGAAUUCGAUAAUUUGAUAUUUUCUUCAGGCCCCAAAUUUCUUCCCAUGUUCCUUGAGAAUUAUAAAUUGGAGUUGGUAUCCUUCUAAUUUUCUUUCCAAACCAGCUUUCGCCCGCACUUGCUUGCUAAACUUGAGAUGCGUAAUAGCAAUCUUGUUCGUCUAUGGGAGGGAAAAUGGUAAGAGUAGUUAUGAACAAAAGAUAAUAUUGGUUACUCACUAGUUAAUACUCACUUUUUUGAUUUUGUCAAAUGAUAUUUUAACACAUAUUAUUUUUAAAAUAAUAGACGUGUUAUUUAAUUUUUCUGGAGUUUUAAAAUUAAGGAACGCUUGAUAUUUUUUUAUUGUACAAUUCCGAAGGUUCCAAAUUUCUUCAUAUUCAUUGAGAAUAAAUGUUAUUAUUAAUUUACAAAAUAAUCAUUUAUAUUAAUUUAUUAUUUUGAAUAAACUUUAAGGUUGUGGAAGCUAAGUAUAUGAUCUGAACCUUGUCGGGUGAUGUUGUGCAGGACUUACCCAACUUAAAACAUAUUGAUAUUAGCAACUCCUAUAAAUUGAAGAGUAUCUCAGAUUUCAGUGGUAUUCCAAAUCUUGAGAGGUUGAUCCUUUGGGAUUGUAAAAAUUUAGUUGAGAUACACCCGUCUAUUUGCAAUCCUCAAAAGACUUAAACAUUUGCUUCUUAAUGGCUGUUUUGAAAGCAUUAAUAGCCUCCCAAGUGAGGUUGAAAUGGAUUCUCUUGAGACUUUCGAUCUUGAUGGCUGCUCAAAUGUGAAAAAGAUUCCAGAAUUUGGGGAGCAGAUGAAGAAUGUAUGGCGGAUUCACUUAGAUGGGACUGCGAUCGAGAAAAUACCUUCAUCAAUUGGACAUCUGGUUGGCCUCAAGGAAAUUGCAAAAAUCUCUUGAACCUUCCAAGGGGCGAUUUGUAAUUUGAAGUCUCUUGGAUAUCUCAGUGCGAGUGGAUGCUCAAAGAUUGACCAACUCCCAGGAGACAUGGAUCACUUAGAGGCGCUUUGCUGGGACCCACUAUGACAGAGCCGCUUGUGAGCAUGAAAAAUCUCAAACGUCUAGUAUUUAAGACAAAUUCUAACAUAGCCGCUUGUGGAUCAGAUGGUAAAGCAAGGGAUGGGUGGGGCCUUCGCUGCUUAUUUGGACUUGAAAAGAGUCGCCCUGAUCCUUCUCCUUGUUGGCGUUUGGUGUUGUCUUCUCUAAAUCGUUUAUGCUCUUUGACAGAGUUAUCUCUAGAGAAUUGUAAUCUCCAGGGAGGGGAUAUCCCCGAUGAAUAUGGCUGCUUGUCCUUACUGGAGUAUUGUAUCUUAGUAGAAAAUAAUUUCGUCAGUCUACCUGAAAGCUUUAGACGCCUUUCUAAACUUUUCAGUCUUGAUCUAGAGGGGUGUAUAAGCCUUCAAAAAUUGCCUCCUCUUCCAUCAAACAGAGGACUAAGAGUAAAUCUGGACAAUUGCACUUCCUUACAAAGGUUGUCAGGUCCAUCCAGUUUUUUAUGGUGAUUAUGUCACUUGCCGGAAUUGCAUUGCAUUGGUUCAAGAUGACGACUGAUUCAAUUAGGAUUCUAAUAUUUNNNNNNNNNNNNNNNNNNNNNNNNNNNNNNNNNNNNNNNNNNNNNNNNNNNNNNNNNNNNNNNNNNNNNNNNNNNNNNNNNNNNNNNNNNNNNNNNNNNNNNNNNNNNNNNNNNNNNNNNNNNNNNNNNNNNNNNNNNNNNNNNNNNNNNNNNNNNNNNNNNNNNNNNNNNNNNNNNNNNNNNNNNNNNNNNNNNNNNNNNNNNNNNNNNNNNNNNNNNNNNNNNNNNNNNNNNNNNNNNNNNNNNNNNNNNNNNNNNNNNNNNNNNNNNNNNNNNNNNNNNNNNNNNNNNNNNNNNNNNNNNNNNNNNNNNNNNNNNNNNNNNNNNNNNNNNNNNNNNNNNNNNNNNNNNNNNNNNNNNNNNNNNNNNNNNNNNNNNNNNNNNNNNNNNNNNNNNNNNNNNNNNNNNNNNNNNNNNNNNNNNNNNNNNNNNNNNNNNNNNNNNNNNNNNNNNNNNNNNNNNNNNNNNNNNNNNNNNNNNNNNNNNNNNNNNNNNNNNNNAGCACCUGUCACAUGCACACUCAGCUUUGCUGAAUUACGGGCAUUCUGUUGAAGAUUUCUGGUGAAGUGAAAAGCAAGUGAAUCUUACUGUUCAAUCAUCCACUUUUCACACGCACCAUCAGCUCAUGGGUACCACAGAUAACUUUGCCAAAGAUCUCUGACAAAGUUUAUACACGUGAAGCUUGCAGCUCCCACUACAUCGCUAUGACCAAGAAGGGUAAAAGAAUAGCAAAGAAACAACACUAACAAAGUUUAGACACAUAAAUUUUGAAGGUCUAGCUAUCAUAUUAUUACCCACAAGGGUAAAGGAACAGCACCACUGCUGGAUAAUUGGAAAGUCCUUGUGUGUCAACCUCUGUGCUCCGUGGCAAGGUAGAAUAGCAAACAUGCCCUACCUUUACUCACAUUCGAGAAAAACACUCCCAACAAGAUUGCUUGCUCCAAAAUCGAAGAAGGCACCGUCCUCCGACUCUCGAGAGCCAGACUCUCAUCACAUGAUUACUUUCUCAAAAAUCGAAGAGAAGACACCUACUCUCUCAUCGAAAUCUCGAGAGCCAGACUCCCAGCAUGAUUGCUCUCUCAAUCAAAAAUCGAAGAGGCAUCGUUCUUCUCCGAAUCUCGAGAGCCAGAUCCCCGACAGGAUUGCUUGUUCGAAAACCGAAGAGGCACCGCUUUCUCAACUUCGAGAGCCAGAUCUCCUUGGAUAAAGCUUGUCUGUAAUCUUCACGCAACAUCAGCUUUUCAGAUACCACAGACCACUUUUUCAAAGUGCUCUGACACACGUGAAGCUGGCAGCUCCCACUACCGUGCUAUGACUAAGCAGGGUAAAGGAAUAGCAUUACUACUUGUUGUUAGGGAGACUCCUAUAUAUGUCGACCUUCAUCCUCAACGGACAGGCAAACCUGCAAAAAUGCUCGACCCUUCCUCAUAUCUGAGAGGGCACUCCCGACGAAGCCUCUCAAAAUACUCAGCUUUCUUUCCCCCCGAUAAUACCUCUGCAACAAGCUACACCAGAGCAAGAAUAUCUAAUAUCAUCAGGGUUAAAAGCAAGAGUAUCCCAUAUCAUGCUUUUUCCUUGUCUUUUCCUUUGGCCUUGUUCUUACCUGCAAGACAAGGAGAAAGAGAGCAAUCAGUCAGCAUUUGGAAUCAAGCUUCCAGUCAGGAACUGACUGCCUGGAACCCCUUACCUGAUUACUUACCUGGCAUUGCUCUCGAGUACUCAUCUUCAACAUCUUAUGCUUCCAGAGAAGACACCACAUCUGCCUAAGAAACCGAUAGGGAAAGUGAAAAGGAUACAAGGAAACAUGUGGAGACAAGCGUAACAGAACACGUGCCGAUACAUCCACUACUUUGUCAACAGCAAAAGUAUCCCAUAUCAGCACGGUCGAACGUACUCUAGAUUUGAUGGACUUGUUUUGACCCUCAAAUUCUUCAGUCGGCCUUAUACUUUGGAGGAAACCAGAAAACCCUCCAGCCCAGUUCAAGAAUAAGCCUAUGGAAAGUUACUUCUUCAAAAGCAAAAGUAACUCAUAUCAUCUAUUCUCCUUUUCUUCUCUUUAUCCGCUGCCUGCAAGAUAGGGAGAAUGAGAACAAUCAGCCGGAACUCGAAAUCAAACUUCUGAUCUGGGACUAAUUGCUUGGAGCUCUGAUUGCUUACCUUGUUUAUCACCUCUUUCAGCAGAUCCCCUUGCUCGGCGACUUGGGGGACUCCUACUACAUGGUUUGUAUCGCGCUUGACCAAGCCUGAAACUACAAGUAAGCUUCAAGUGAAAUUGAUACAUUACCUUGUGCAUCUCCACCAGUUAAAGAUACCACCCCUGGAUGGAGGAAGAGUACUUAGAAGUUUCGUGAUUACGAGAUCAUUCUCCCACAAUAUUUCCUAAUGUCACUUGUACUCAAUCAUUCAUUUGUACUCACUAAAGGAGAGCUUGAACCUAUGUACUUGUGUAAACCCUUCACAAUUAAUGAGAACUCAUUUACUCCGUGGACGUAGCCAAUCUGGGUGAACCACGUACAUCUUAUGUUUGCUUUCCUGUCUCUAUCCAUUUACAUACUUAUCCACACUAAUGACCAGAGCAAUAACUUAAUACUUUCUGUUGUACCAAAGUCCUCACUGAUUUUGUGCAUCAACAAUCCUUAAGUCCUUAACCUUUUGCGUUGGUAAUGGAUGAGUUAACAGGACAUAUUCAAGAUGAUAUUUCUUGGUGUAUGCUUCUCGCAAAUGAUAUAGUGUUGAUAGAUGAAACUCAGGAGGGGUAAAUGCGAAGCUUAACCUUUGGAGAGAAGUGUUGGAAUCUAAAGGUCUUCGCCUAAGCCGAUCAAAGACAGAAUAUAUGGAGUGCAAGUUCAGUGCAAAUGGAGGCCAAAAUGAGUUAGAGGCGAGGAUCGGAGAUCAGGUAAUACCAAAGAGCGACCGUUUUCGCUACCUAGGAUCUAUCUUGCAAAAGAACGGAGAAUUAGAUGAAGAUCUCAACCAUAGAAUACAAGCUGGAUGGAUGAAGUGGAAUAGUGCAUCCGGCAUGUUGUGUGACCAUCGUAGGCCACUGAAGCUUAAGAGAAAAUUUUAUAGAACGGCAAUAAGGCCGGCGAUGCUGUAUGGCACAGAAUGUUGGGCGGUGAAGCAUCAACACGUACACAAAAUGGGUUGGACAUGUGCAAAGAAGGCCUACUGACGCUCCGGUUCGAAGAUGUGACUACGGGAUAGAGGUUCAGGGCCGAAGGGGUAGAGGAAGACCUAGGAAAACUUUGGAAGAGACCCUAAGAAAAGACUUAGAGUACUUGGAUCUAACGGAGGACAUGACACAAAACCGAGCGCAAUGGCAUUCUAGGAUUCAUAUAGCCGACCCCACUUAGUGAGAAAAGGCUUUGUUGUUGUUGUUGUUGUUGUACUUAUACAUUAUAAUCUUUGUCAUGUUACAGCUUCUCAGUUUCAUUAUAAGUUUCUUGUGGUCUCGUAGCAGUUUCCUUUAUUCUUUCCAUACAAGAUCAGAGAAAAAGUAACAAAAAAUUGUGACUAAAACUGCCCUCAAAACACAUACAAUUGAUAGAGUCUGUCCUUUCUCAGGGACAAGUAACAUAAUUGAACUAGCGGAAUGAAUAAAACUUUUCUAAAGAGUGCAGAUGGAUAUUCUCCAACACCAGAAUCAACUCAAUUCGGUGGUAAACAGGUAUUGCACCCUUCUGGAUUCAAAGGUGCAAUAAGCUAGAAGCUACAUCGCACUUUUUUAACUUCCACUAAUAAGAAAUCAAUGUAAUUAAGUUUCUGACCCUUAUUCAGCGUUAUUGUUGCAAAAAGAUUUUCUGGUACUGGUGCCUGAAUCCUUAUUACACAGCUCUAUGGUUAAUUUCAGUUUCAAGCAGCUGCAAGGACUAAUUUGUGCUAAUCUUGAAGGAAUCAAAGCAUGUUCCUGUUCUUUUGAAUCAUAACUUUUUCUGGGUUAUGGAACAAAUAUAAUUUCCACGUUAUUAUUUUUUUCAAAAAAAAAAAUUCUACGUUAUUAUUAUUUACAGAAGGGAAGGGGGGACGCUAACGCAUUUUCCUUCAAAAAUCCUGCCAUGUUCCAAAAAAUUGAUUGUAUACAGGAAGGAUUAAAAUUUCAGGAUUCAAAAGUUUUUACCAAAUGGCGGCUUCAGGCUCUUCCACCCCGGGCUAAGCAGAAAUUGUUACUACCCACUACAGGCAAUAAUACAUCAAACAUUACCAACUUCAUAAGAUGUGAGUCAAGAUGUUAUUCUAAUAAAUAAAACUAAAGCGACAAAAACAAAGAGGAAACUUCAGUGAAACGAUUACCAGCGGAACCCUAUUCACACUCUUCUCUAUUCACAUUUUCGGUAAACAUAUAAUUAUAUCAAAUUAGAUUAUAUAAUUCUUGUUAAGCUACUAAGCUUCAACUUUAGUGAUAAAUACCGCGUCUGAGACUCCUUCUCUUCAAACAAUUGCCUGCCGGAACCAGCGCGAGGACCAAAUUCGAAACCUAUCAACAUUUAAUUUACAAUUAGCUAAAUUCUUAAUGCUUAAAGAUUUAGUUUCCUUUUCUAGUAGCGCUAAUCCACCUAAAAUGUAAAGAAUUUAAGGAAGCAAUAGGCAUGAUAAUCUAUCUGAUCAUAAUUAACUACCGUUUGGUACCUGAAAUAUCAAAGGAAAAUUUUUCAAUUUACUUCUUGUUCUUGUAAUCUCAGUUUUUCAACUCCCAAAGAACUAAAUGCACACACAUGAAUAUAGAAUGCAUACAAAUACAAGGACGGAGCUACCAUGGGCCUAGGGGGGCGGAUGCCCCCAUUGAGAUUUUUCUGACGCUGGGAUGCUGCUCAAAUUGAGCUGGGUUUGCAGCAGCAAAGCCCCCACUGAACUCAUCUGGUUCUGCUCUCCGACCUGGUUCUGCAGAAGCAGAGCUGGGUCUUAUAUUUUUUUUUUUUUAAAUCCAGGCCAAAACGACGUCGUUUUGGUCCUGGUACAAAAAAAAAUAAAUGAAACAGCGUCGUUUCGUAUAUGUUAACAAAAAAGAAAGUAUGUUAAAGGUGGACUGUGGGGACAAGCGGUCCCCCCUUUAAUCUCUAACCCCAUUCCCUGAUUCCUUCCCAUCUCUCUGUUCCUUUUUAUUUCCCUUGCCAAACAGAGAGCAGCGUGGUGCUACUCUCUUUCCCCAAAUUCCCAACAUCUUGAAACUGAACAGAACAGGAGCAAGGUGUUGUUCCCAGCCACGCCAACAGUUAGCCACUCCAGCCAGCUACUCUCUAGCCGACAUAUAUAUAUUUAUGGUAAAAUUCUUAAUUCCUAAAUCUAUAAUCCCUAACCCUAAUUAAUUAUUUAAGACGUUGGGAAAGGCAAAAAUCAAGAAACUACUUUGAAACGUGCUGGAGAAACACGUUGGGGUUCACACUUUGGUACUUUAGUAAGUAUCAUGACUAUGUUUUCAUCCAUACUUGAUGUACUUGAAGUAAUAGCAGAUGAUGGAGUAAGCUCUCAACAAAGAUGUGAAGCAAAUAAUUUAUUGGAUUCCAUGCAAUCAUUUAAUUUUGUGUUUAAUCUACACUUGAUGAAAGAUAUACUAGGAAUAACCAAUGAAUUGUCACAAGCAUUGCAAAGGAAGGAUCAGGAUAUUGUAAAUGCAAUGAAGUUGGUUGGAGUUUGUAAGCAAAGGUUGGAGAUAAUGAGGAAAAGUGGUUGGGAUUCUUUUACUUAGUGAAGUCUCAGAAUUUUGUCUUAAACAUGAUAUUGAUGUGCCUAAUAUGGAUGAUAUGUUUCUUUCUCGAAGGCGAGGGCAACGAAAAGCACAAGCAGUCAUAAAUAUGCAUCAUUAUUGUGUUGGGAUAUUUUAUGUUGUUUUGGAUUGGCAGCUUCAAGAACUAAAUAAUCGUUUCAAUGAGAGACCAACACUGAGUUACUUCUUUGUUUGGCAUGUUUAUAUGUCCAGCCGACUCCUUCUCUGCUUUUGAUAGCCAAAAGCUAUUGCGUCUUGCCCAGUUUUAUCCUAAAGACUUCUCUAUGAAUGAGCUGGUGAUACUUAAGAUUCAACUUGAGACUUACAUUAUGGAUAUGCGGUCUAGCAUUGAGUUUUCAAGUUUAAAAGAGAUUGGAGAUCUUGCAAAAAACAUGGUUCAAUGCAAAAAACACAAGGUGUAUUCGCUGGUUUACUUGUUUGUGACAUUAGCACUAACUCUUCCAGUUGCUACUGCAACCGUUGAAAAAGCAUUUUCGGCCAUGAAAAAUUCUGAAGAAUCGAUUGAGAAAUCGAAUGGGAGAUCAAUGGAUGAAUGAUAACAUGGUUAUUUUUAUAGAGAGAGAGAGAUAUUUAAUGGUAUUGGUAAUGAUGUUGUCAUGCAACGCUUUCAGAACAUGAAAACACGUCGAGGGAUAUUGUAAGGGACUGUUGUAUGAAAAACUUUUUGGAUUAAUAUAUAAGUAUUGUGUUUAGUAAAUUCUUGAGCUUUUUAAUUAUGACUUUGUUGUUUGAGGAUGACCCCAUUCACACACAGUUCUGGCUUCGUCCCUGUACAAAUAUGUAUGUAUGUGUGUGUGUGUGUGUGUGUGUGUGUGUGUGUGUGUGUAUGACAGAUGAGGAGACGGGGACCUGGAGGGUAGGAACUGUGAAGGCCGCCUCUAGCGGUGGCAGGACGAAGAAAAGAGGAGAAGCCUGAGAGAGAGGAACAGGAUGGAAAGAGCAAGCUUCAUGAUGUGAUCUUUGGAUUGACGAUGGUGGCGAUGGAGCUCCAGAAUCGAAUUCAGGAAGCCAUUGUUGGAACUUGGAAGGAGUAAAAGAAGAUGAAAACGUAACGACGAAGAUUGGAGAUGCUGGAUCUCGGGGGAAAAUGGGCUGCAAAUUCCAUUGGAAGCGAAGUAACGGGGACUUCGAGAUAUGGGUUGCAUAUGAAUCUCGGCCCAUUUUUCAAACCGCCCGAACCAAACUAAAUUCUAUAGGUUGAUUUUUUUUUUUUAAUAAACAACAAUAUUUUACAUUAUAGGGCUUCAAUUGGCAUAACAAGAUUUAAAGUUUCUAAUUUUUUUUUCAUUGCUCAUUUUUUGUUUUUCUUGUUCAUUGACUACUGUUUUUGUUUGCAAAACCCAUUUUUCGGUAAAUGAAUAUGACUCAACAACUUAAACUGAGUUAAUGGGGACUGUAAGAUCAAAUCAAAUUGUCAAAUAUGUGUUGACACUAAGUCAUAUAUUUGACCGCAGUGAGUUCAUGUAGUUACGAAUAAAAAUUGUAUCUUGUAAUUGAUAAACCUAAUAAUUCUACAGGUUAUCCACGUCAGCAAUCCUUGUCAACUCAGCAACCACAGUCCGCAAUAUAUGGUUCUCACUCAACCACUCCAACACAGAGUUUGGAUAACACACAAUGUCCUCAACAGAUUGAGAAGGAUCAUAGUCCUCCUUAAACAUGACUCUAUCAUCAUAGUGUACCUUAGCUUUCUGUUAUGUAUUUUUGUAAUUUGAAUUCGAUUGUAAUUCUGAUACCAGAUUCAUUGUAAUCUUGUAAAGCCUAUAUAAUGAAGUACAUGACUCACUCAUAAUUAAUUGAGUUGAGCUUAUGCAAUUGAUUAUUUCAACCCUAGCUUGAAUUCUUUCAUGGUAUCUCAGAGCUAAAGUCUCACCACAAAACAAAUUUUUUUUUUUUCAUGGCGUCCUCUUCUUCUCCCUUACCUAAUGCCUCCAAUUUUCUCACCCUUAAACUUGAUCGUACCAACUACCCUCUCUGGCAAGUUCAGAUGCUUCCUCUUCUCCGCAGUCGCAAUCUUGUCUCUUUUGUCGAUGGCACCAGUCAAUGCCCCCCAGCAUUUCUGCAAGAUGCAGAUGGCAACAUCACUGACAAAGUCAAUCCUGACUUCGAAACCUGGAUUCAACAGGAUGCUACAUUUCUGUCCUGGAUUAAUUCUUUUGUUCACCCCACUGUCCUUGCUGCUUUAAUUGGGAAAACCAGUUCUCACUCUGCUUAGACAACCUUCCGUGACCGCUAUGCCUCUCAGUCAACCGGCCGUCUUCUUCAGCUUCACAGUGAGUUGAUGAAUACUCACAGAGGUGAUUCCUCCAUUUCUGAAUUUUUAGAUAAAAUCAAUUGUCUAGCAGAGACUCUCUCUCUCUGGUGCUCCUGUUUCAGACUCCGACAUUGUCGCCAUCAUCCUUAACAAUGUUGGUCCUGUUUAUGAGAGCAUGGUUGCCUCCGCUCAAGCUCGUGACGAGGCCAUCACCUACAGUGCUUUGGAAGCACUCCUCAUUGGCGCUGAAAGAAGACAGAAAUUGCGUUUUGCUUUUACUACUGACACCGACCCAACUGCCUUUGCUGCAGUUCACAAUGGUGGUCGUUCAUCUCUCCCAGUUUUUGCGGUCGUGGCUCAUCUUCUACAUUCCGAGGUCGCAACAGUCCCACUGGUGGUCGUUGGUCCUCUUCUCGGCCAUGCAACUCCCCAGGUUCUCAUCAUGGAUCUCACCAACAUUCUCACUCUCGCCAACCUGAUGGUCUUCUUGGUCAAUCUCCAAGUUCUUUUCCUACUGGUCGGAUCCAAUGCCAAAUUUGUAACAUACAUGGUCAUUCGGCAAUCGGCUAUUUCAACCGUCUCAACCUGUCUUAUGAAGGGCGUGUUCCAGCGCCAAAACUUCAAGCCUAUACUGCUGGUGUUCCCCCUGCCUCUGCUAGUGCUCCAGCUCUCCAGAAUUGGCUUUUCGACUCUGGUGCCAAUGCCCACAUCACCAAUAAUCCAGCUCAGGUGUUUAAUCCUUGUCCUUACCAUGGUACUGACCAAGUCAAUGGUGUAGUAGGUGGAACAGGUUUGCACAUCUCUCAUAUUGGAAACUCUUGCAUUCGCACACCCAAAGCCAUUUUUAAAUUACCCAACACACUAUUUUGCCCUACUGCAUCCACCAAUGUCAUAUCCAUUCAUAAAUGUACCACUGACAACAACUGUUCCCUAACCUUAUAUCCAAAUUCCUAUGGUGUUCAGGAUCUUCACAUGGGGAAGACACUUUUCCAAGGCCCGAGUAGAGAUGAUUUCUACCCUUUUUCCAGUAUUUCAUCAUGCAAUAAAGGAGUCUCUACAUUCAUAGGUGCUAGGGUGUCCAAUCAUGUUUGGCACUCUAGAUUAGGUCAUCCAUCAACUCAUGUUUUGAAUUCUUUAAUUUUCAAGAAUAAGUUACCCGUGAAUGGUGUUGUAACUAGUGACUUUUGUCACUCCUGUCCACUCGGCAAGAGUCACAAGUUACCCUUUACUUUGUCUAGUUCUAGGUCAACUUUUCCUUUACAAUUAAUUCAUUCGGGUGUAUGGACUUCUCCCUAUGUUUCAAUCAAUGGAUUUAAGUAUUAUGUAGUAUUUAUUGAUGACUUUUCUAGAUACUCCUGGUUAUAUCCAUUAAAACUAAAAUCAGAUGUUUUUUCUACCUUUGUAAAUUUUAAAAAAUUAGUUGAAAACAUGUUUAGCACCACAAUCAAAUCCUUUCAAACCGAUGGUGGCAGUGAAUAUAUUAAUAAUAAUUUCAAAACUUUUUUUACUUAUCAUGGUAUAUAUCAUCGUUUCACAUGUCCUCAUCAUCCCAAACAAAAUGGUAUUUCAGAAUGUAAACAUCGUCAUAUUGUUGAAACCGAUCUUACUCUUCUUGCUCACGCAUCUUUACCCACUUCCUUUUGGGAUGAUGCUUUUCAUACUGCAACUUAUUUAAUCAAUCAGUUACCCACUAAGGUCUUGAAUGAUGAGUCCCCAUUUCAAAAACUCUUUCUCAAAACUCCUCAUUAUGAUAUUCUUAAAAUAUUUGGCUGUGCAUGUUUCCCAUAUCUUAAGCCAUACAACUCCAAUAAAUUACAGUUCCGUUCUACCCGUUGUGUCUUUCUUGGUUACUCAUUAAAUCAACAAGGUUAGAGCAACUUCACCCUUGGAGCCCUUCCCCCUGGCAAUCCACUAUUGAAUCCACCAUAUUGAACAGUAACUGCCUUUAAUGAAUAGUAACUACCUUUAAUGAACAGUAAUUAUCUUUUGCAUCUCCACACUUGGAACUCUCCCCCUGACAAUAAGUAAUAAAAUAUUAGUUUUUUUUGUUUGUUUAAAUAAUAUAAAAUAAAAAAACAUGGAAAUGGGGCUGCAGGCCCUCGGGCUGACACAAAAAAAAUAAAAAAAAUGCUUAGCCCUCGGGCUGCAGGCCUGUCAAUUCCCCACCCCCCUUGUGCUCGGGCUCUCUAAGGCUGGAGGGUUGUCCACCUGGCCUCGGGCCCUUUCCUGGUGCCUGUCCCCCGAGCAAUCCACAAGGAUGGACUUGCUCUUAUAAGUGUCUAGAUAUGUCUACCGGUCCCGUCUUCUUGUCACGUCAUGUUGUCUUUGAUGAAACUACUUUUCCCUAUAAAGAAACCACCUCUACUCCGUUUUCUUCUUCUCCCUCCUUACCUAACAUCAUAAUUAAUAUUGACCCCCCCCAUGCCCACUUUUCAACCCAUGUCGCGUCUUCUUGUCACGUCAUGUUGUGAAACUAUUUUUUCCUAUAAAGAAACCACCUCUACUCCGUUUUCUUCUUCUCCCUCCUCACCUAACAUCAUAAUUAUUAUUGACCCCCACCAUGCCCACUUUUCAACCCAUUUCCCCGACAUCACCUACACCUAUCUCUUCCAUCCCUAAUGCUACCCCAUGUCCUACGCCUACACCACUUCCAUCACCUAUACCCAUUUCUGCCACCCCUAUUUCACCUCCAUCACAUCUUCCUGCCAAAACACUUCCCACUCCACCCGUCCCUUCUGCCAACCCCACGCCGUCCUCCUUCAAUCCUCCAGCUAAUAAUUCACCCUUAGAUCCCCUAGUAUCUCUCCACCCUGCGACUGCAAGUACAUCCACUACCAAAAGAAGAUUUAAAGUUUCAAAUUCUUUUUAUAAAUCUAAAACAUUGAUCUUCUAUCUUUUUACUUGUUCACUCAGUUACUGUCUGCAAUACCCGAUUACAACAACUGUUUUCUUCGAUGGCAUUGACUUUGAGCACCAAUAGAGCCUCGGCAUCUUUUCUUUUCAAUGAAUCAGCUCCUCGAUGGAAGUAUGAUGUGUUUUUGAGUUUCAGGGGUGUAGACACCCGCAAGGGUUUUGUAUCCCAUUUACACCAUGAAUUGUCCAAGUGCCAAGGAAUUACGACUUUCAUGGACGAUCGAGAGCUUCAAGGAGGAGCAAGUAUUCAUGUUGAGCUACCAAGUGCGAUCAAAGAAUCGCAUAUUGCAAUUGUUGUUCUCUCACCAAACUAUGCUUCUUCCAAAUGGUGCUUGGAUGAACUCACAACCAUUCUUCAAUGCAUGGAAGCCAGGAACUCAGUUCUCUGCCGGUCUUUUAUCAGACAGAUCCAUCUGACGUCGGAAAUCAACGGGGAUGUUUUGCCGAAGCCUUCGCGGAGCAUGAAGAAAAGUUGAUCAGUAUCGAAGGCAAAAAGAAGGUGCUCCAAUGGAAAGCUGAUCUAAAGCGAGUGUCCAAAAUUUGUGGUUGGACUUCGAAGGAAUCUAAGUAAGCAUGAACAACUUUAAUUUCCCAUGUCUUAGUAGAGUCAAAAUUGAAUGCUUCGUUUAUGUUUUUUCAAUGGUUAUUUUAUACCAUGUAGGUGUGAAAGUGAGCUUAUACAAAAAAUCGUUAAAAGUGUGUGGAGGAAAGUGCAAGCUACACUCCCGUUGUUAGAUUCCUCACAAAAAUUAGUUGGGGUUAAUUUUGGGCUUGGGCAACUAAGUUCUCUAUUAGCUCAUGAUGUCAAUGAUGUACGCUUUAUAGGGAUAACGGGGAUGGGUGGCAUAGGUAAGACAACCCUUGCUAAGCUUGUUUAUGAUAGAAUCUUUCAUCAUUUUGAAGUUCACUGCUUUCUCGGCAACCUUAGAGAGGUUUCUAAUGUUGAUCUUCAAAAAAGACUUCUUUUCCCGGUGUUGAGGGAAAAGAUUGAAGAAAUUUGGGAUGAAGAGCGCGAAAUCAUUUUCACUAAGAAGUGCUUGCGCAACAAAAAAGUUCUUCUUGUACUUGAUGAUGUGGAUCACAUAAACCAGCUACAAGUACUAGCUGGAAACGAAGAUUGGUUUGGCAUGGGAAGUAGAAUUAUCAUUACAACUAGAAAUGAACGUCUGCUAGUCCAGCAUGACAUAACAUUAUGUCAUAAUGUCAAAGUGUUAGAUAAAGGCGCAGCUCUUGCACUGUUUAGCCUUCAUGCCUUUAAGAAAAAUCUGCCCGAGGAUGGGUUUUGGGAACUGUCAACGUAUUUCAUUAAUUAUGCUGGAGGCCUUCCAUUAGCUCUUGAAACUUUGGGGUCAGCAUUGUUUAAGAGAAGGCUAGACACUUGGAAUAGUGUGUGGGAUAAUCUGUCAAAAACUCCUAAUCCAGCAAUUUUUGAUAAACUUAAAAUAAGUUAUGAUGGACUAGAAGAGUGGGAGAAGAGAAUUUUUCUCGACGUUGCAUGUUUCCACAAAGGGAAGUACACGAAUGAAGUAAUUAAAAUGCUAGAUAAUUCUCUUGGAAUCUCUAGUAGUAGUAUGAUAGAUGUACUAAUUGAGAGAUCUCUCAUCUAUCAAGAUCAUGAAAACUGCAUACGGAUGCAUGAUUUGAUUCAAGAAAUGGCAUGGACAGUUAUUGUUCAAGAGUCUAAAGAGCCUGGUCAACGUAGUAGGUUGUGGCUUUACAAUGACAUUGAUCAUAUAUUCACGACGAAUACGGUAAAAAGUUAAACUAAGUUUGGAAGAAGAUAUGAUUUCUUUUGACACUAUAUUAUUAUAUGAAAUUAAUUCGUCAUUUUUUCCUUUAACUGUUAGGGAACAGGAGCAAUUGAAGCCAUAUCCUUACGCCUGCUCAAAGUAGAAGAGGUACGCCAGUGGAAUUGCGAAGCCUUCUCAAAGAUGGAUGGACUGAGGUUUUUGGAAUUCGAUAAUUUGAUAUUUUCUUCAGGCCCCAAAUUUCUUCCAUGUUCCUUGAGAAUUAUAAAUUGGAGUUGGUAUCCUUCUAAUUUUCUUCCAACCAGCUUUCGCCCGCACUUGCUUGCUAAACUUGAGAUGCGUAAUAGCAAUCUUGUUCGUCUAUGGGAGGGAAAAUGGUAAGAGUAGUUAUGAACAAAAGAUAAUAUUGGUUACUCACUAGUUAAUACUCACUUUUUGAUUUUGUCAAAUGAUAUUUUAACACAUAUUAUUUUAAAAAAUAAUAGACGUGUUAUUUAAUUUUCUGGAGUUUUAAAAUUAAGGAACGCUUGAUAUUUUUUUAUUGUACAAUUCCGAAGGUUCCAAAUUUCUUCCAUAUUCAUUGAGAAUAAAUGUUAUUUAAUUUACAAAAUAAUCAUAUAUUUAUUUAUUAUUUUGAAUAAACUUUAAGGUUGUGGAAGCUAAGUAUAUGAUCUGAACCUUGUCGGUGAUGUUGUGCAGGACUUACCCAACUUAAAACAUAUUGAUAUUAGCAACUCCUAUAAAUUGAAGAGUAUCUCAGAUUUCAGUGGUAUUCCAAAUCUUGAGAGGUUGAUCCUUUGGGAUUGUAAAAAUUUAGUUGAGAUACACCCGUCUAUUGCAAUCCUCAAAAGACUUAAACAUUUGCUUCUUAAUGGCUGUGAAAGCAUUAAUAGCCUCCCAAGUGAGGUUGAAAUGGAUUCUCUUGAGACUUUCGAUCUUGAUGGCUGCUCAAAUGUGAAAAAGAUUCCAGAAUUUGGGGAGCAGAUGAAGAAUGUAUGGCGGAUUCACUUAGAUGGGACUGCGAUCGAGAAAAUACCUUCAUCAAUUGGACAUCUGGUUGGCCUCAAGGAAUUGCAAAAAUCUCUUGAACCUUCCAAGGGCGAUUUGUAAUUUGAAGUCUCUUGGAUAUCUCAGUGCGAGUGGAUGCUCAAAGAUUGACCAACUCCCAGGAGACAUGGAUCACUUAGAGGCGCUUUGCUGGGGACCCACUAUGACAGAGCCGCUUGUGAGCAUGAAAAAUCUCAAACGUCUAGUAUUUAAGACAAAUUCUAACAUAGCCGCUUGUGGAUCAGAUGGUAAAGCAAGGGAUGGGUGGGGCCUUCGCUGCUUAUUUGGACUUGAAAAGAGUCGCCCUGAUCCUUCUCCUUGUUGGCGUUUGGUGUUGUCUUCUCUAAAUCGUUUAUGCUCUUUGACAGAGUUAUCUCUAGAGAAUUGUAAUCUCCAGGAGGGGGAUAUCCCCGAUGAUAUUGGCUGCUUGUCCUUACUGGGAGUAUUGUAUCUUAGUAGAAAUAAUUUCGUCAGUCUACCUGAAAGCUUUAGACGCCUUUCUAAACUUUUCAGUCUUGAUCUAGAGGGGUGUAUAAGCCUUCAAAAAUUGCCUCCUCUUCCAUCAAACAGAGGACUAAGAGUAAAUCUGGACAAUUGCACUUCCUUACAAAGGUUGUCAGGUCCAUCCAGUUUUUAUGGUGAUUAUGUCACUUGCCGGAAUUGCAUUGCAUUGGUUCAAGAUGACGACUUGAUUAAUAGGAUUCUAAUAUUUGUCAUUGAGGUACUCUCUCUCUCUCUCUCUCUCUCUCUCUCUCUCUCUAUUAAUAGGAUUCUAAUAUUUGUCAUUCAGGUACUCUCUCUCUCUAAAUAAUUGAUCUUUCUUCUGCUACAGGGAUUGAAAGUUGUAAUCCCUGGAAGUGAAAUUCCAGAGUGGUUCAGUAAUCAAAGUGUGGGACAUUCAAUAAAUGUGGAGCUUCCUCCACCAUCAUGUACCAACUGGCUUGGGAUUGCCUUAUGUGUUGUUUUUCAAGACCCUAAGCAAAACUUGGCAAAUCCAGCUGCCCUUCGUCAUUAUGAUAGAUUCGAAAUUUGGUAUUCAGAUGCACAUUUUAGCCAUAGAGUUUUGAUCAACCGCAUAGGGUCUGCUGUGUCAGAACACCUUUGGGUAUUUUAUCUGCGUCGUUAUAGAAAUCAACGUCGUGAAGAUUGUCUUCAGGAACAGUGUUUAUUCGAAACUUUUUUUUUUGAUAUCGAGGGACAACUAAAGGCAGACUUGAAUAUGGUGAAGAAGUGUGGGGCUCGUUUGGUGUACGAGCAAGAUUUGAAAGAACUCAACCAAAAACUACUGAAACGAACACGCAAAUAUCGUGACAAGGCAACUCCAAGUGGACCUGGAAGUGUUAGCUUCAACGACACAGAAAAAAUUUGCAAAAGGCGUUGUAACUAGUCACCAUGUCACAAAAAAUGCAAGUAACCAUCGAUUUAUCACAUUAGCUUAAUUGUCAUCAAAAUUAUUUUUUGUUUCGACAUCUUAGUCAAUGUAAUCAAUCUCUCGAGCUAUAUAUUAAGGUGGCUAUAUUUACUGAAAGGCAGAGUGGAUAAGAAUGUUGAUGUAUAAACACUUUUGCAGAUUACUUGGGCGUUAAGAAGAUUGAUUAACAAUCUGAUCAUCUUGCCCAAUGCAGCAAGUGGGUACCUUGGAAACUCACUACGCCAUGGGGGCUGCUCUGUCAGUCCUGAUCUUAAGGUUCAUUUUCUGAAGACGCCGGGUUGAAUUCAAACUUCUGUACUCUGGCAGAAAUUGAUUUGUUUCUGUCUGAUUUUGUAACUAAUGCAAACUUGUAGUCCAGAAACAGAAACGUUGCUAAGGAAACAACACUUUUUGCUCAACAACUUUGGUUUGAUUAAAACUUGGCUUUGGUGAUGCAAAAACUAAGCAUUGAUAGUAUUUUUCCUGAGUGGAAAACUGGAUUGGAUGCUGAGGCAAUGGAAGACAAAUGAUCACACCAAAUCUGUUAUCUUACAAGAUUCUAAUGUAUGUCCCUAAAACACGAACAUAACCAAGGCAACUCAGCGGCAGUGUAUGCAAGCUGCCUAUAUUCAGCUUCAGUGCAAGACCUGGAAACUGUUUUCUGUUUCUUCGAACUCCACGAUAUUAAGUUUUUACCCAAGUAUAUACAGAAGCCUCCAGUCAAUUGUACACCUCGAGGUCUAUAAACAAGACCCUGAUCAUAGGUAGCCUUCAAAUAACGUAGGAUCCUCUUUAACUGCCCUCCAAUGAGUGUUGUUGGAUGAAUGCAUGAACUGACACACUUGGUUCACAACAUAAGAAGGAUCAGGUCUCGUAAUUGUCAUAUAGUGUAGGGCGCCUACAACACUUCGGUAUAAUUCAGGGUUACUAUAUGAUUCACCCCCAAAAGCACUCAGUUUAUGUCCAGAAGAAACUGGAGUCGAGAUUGGCUUGGCAUUGAUAAAUUUAGUACAUUCCAGCAAGUCCAGGGCAUACCUGGACUCUGUGAGAUGCAUUUGAUCACCCGAGCAGGUUACUUCAACACCUAGGCAGUAGUUGAGACGACCCAAGUCCUUCAUGGAAAAUAAGGUGCCCAAUCUCUGUAUCAACUGAGCCAUUUGAUAAGUACUGUUUCCUGUGAGCGAUUUAUUAUCCACAUAGAUUAGUAAGAUGAGGUUGACUAUGGAGACGAUGGAGCCGGAUUCAGGAAGCCAUUGUUGGAACUCGGAAGGAGUUAAAGAUAACGAAAACGUAACGACGAAGAUCGGAGAUGCUGGAUCGACGGAAAAUGGACUGCAAAUUCCAAUGGGAACAAAGAAACGGGACUUCGAGGUAUGGGUUGCAAAUGGAUCUCGGCCCAUUUGUUAAACAACUUUCAUUUGGGCCUAAAUAAGCCUACAAACCUAACCGGAUGAACCAUUCAAACCGCCCGAACCAAACUAAAUUAAAUAGGGUUUGAACUAAAUUGAAGAGAAAUGUCACUAACUAUAUUAUUAGUGACAAAAUUGAUUUUGGAAGUAGUUGUCUAUUUCAGAGUGGAUUUACCAGAUGCCGAAUGUAAUUAUGUAAAUUUUCUCCUGUAUUUACUAUUCAGCAAGGAAUUGAAAAAAUAAUCUUUCCUUGAAAUUUUCUCCUGUAUUUACUAACCAACAUUUUCUUCCAUAUUCUAACGUUUAUAAAAAAAAAACAAAAACAUAUUCUUCCACAUCUAUUGAAUUUUAUAGUGAGAUAUUCUGCUUGAAUUUUAUCACCCUAAACCCUAAGUAAAGCCCCUUUAGGUAAUCAUAUUAAUGUUUUGCCUUGUGCAGGUGGGGAUUGGUAAAGGAUGAGUCUGUGUACCAAAGGAUGACCCAGCAUAUACUCAAGAGUAGCUUAGGUAUUUCUCGAGAUGCUCAGCUUAGAGCUUUGAAGCUUCUAAACGUCGUCCUUGAAACCGGAGGCAGGGAAAAUCUUUGAGUUCGGAUACCACACUUCGAAGAAACGCUGGGAAAAUUUGACAAACAUCCUGUCUCUGUCAAACCACUUUACUCUUCAAAAGUUUGAACCCAAAUACUGCAACUUUUUCAAGAAUAUUAGAGACCCUUCACCAGGUAACGUACCAUAACUCAUCCUGUGCUUUUCGAAACAUGCUAGAGUACGUGUGUGUAGGUUACUUAAUUUAAGAAUUCCUGUAUAAACAUAGGACGUUGCACCUUUCAAAGUUCAUGAGAUUUUAACGUUCAUGAUGACAUAUUCUGUUGUAAACACCCUACAGAAGUGCGCAAGUGUCUGCGUGUAAUGAUUUAUCAAUGUGGUGAAAGAAAAAGUGAAAAUUAUGUUUUGACGAUCAAAUGAAUUUGCAGCCUAUGCAUGGGUGAAGUGCGAGAGGGAAGAGGAUAAAAAUUUGCAGCCUAUACAUGAUCGUCAACCAGGAUUCGGAAAGAUUCAUGUGUCAUCGACAUGAUUGUGGUGAAAUGGCCUCAGCAUCCGAGUCAAGCUCCCACCAACCAUCUGCCAGUAUCAUCCUUCACAAAUUCAUUCACACGUGCACACACACACACACACACCAACAAAAACCUUCAUUUCCUCAUCCCCACUCUCAGCAUCAACCUCACCAUUCCAGUUAUGCAAACUUUGUUCCUCCUCUGGCUUGUAUGUCCAGUCCAAUAUCUUCAAUACGUGAUGGUCUUUCCAUUUCCCCACAACCAGAAAACAGCCUCCUUCUUAGCCUUUCUACUCAAUAUUUCAUUCCAAGAAAAGCUAGAAUCCUCCACAACCACCAUCUUCAGACAUACAUCUCAACUUCGCCUCCAUCACAACAUCUACAACACCUUAAUUAUCCGACAUAAGCAUCACACACUCAACUCUCCUGUGAUGUCUGAAUGCAACAUCCGUCCCCUGUGUUGUAUCCAACGCAUUCCGUACCCAAAACCCCUGCCGCUUCACCUUGUCUGCUAAACCACGCCAAACCUUGGGUGUCAAGACAUCCCUUGAAGCAUUCUUUCACUUGUCCAUCUUCAUAGAAUACUUACCCACCAAUUUCACCGUCGAACUCCCUCUAGCAGUCUCAAUGUGAUUCAACCUUUUCACAUGUUCCCCAUCAUGAAUCUGCCUAAAAUCAUUCACAAGCUUUUCAUUAGUAUAAAAUCUCCUCCCACAAACCCGUUGGACUCACCAGCCUUAAUCACAACCCUGUAGCUCUCUUUCCUUUCCCUAACAACUUGUGGAGCAUAAUUCAAUGCAUCCGGUCUACAUACACAAGCAUAUGCUGAACAAGCCCGAAAGACGAAGCCACGGUAUUGAACGCUUGACGGUGGCUUCAUACAGGGAGACUGAGGGCUGGUUUGGUAUUGCUGUGCUUUGAAAAAAAACUGCUGUGAGAAUAAGCGGCUGUGCUGUAAGAAUAAGCGGCUGUGAAAUAAAACCAGUAGAGUGUUUGGUAAACUUUUUUGUGAAAGUGCUUUUGGAAAAAAAAUCAGGAUGAUAGUGUGUCUUUUCAUUAAAGGAGCACUGUAACUCCGUGUGCUUUGAAAAAACUGGCUUUUUUUCAAAGCAGCAAAUAGCAGCUUCAGCUUUUCCUUUGAUUUUCAGCUUAUUCUCACAGCAGCUUCCAAAAUAAGCCCUUUUUUUUCAGUUUACCAAACACAAAAAUGACCCUCAGCGUUUUUUCACAGUGGCUUUUUUUAAAAUCACCUCAAUCCCAAACGGGGCCUGACUUGGGUGGGGUUUGGCAUCCCAAUCCCAGAAAAUUGUAACACUAGGGUGCCAAACACGAUGAUAAGUUCGAAGAAUUGAAACCUGGUUUCAAUUGAAAAUGGCAAAUAUCUAAUCAAUUGCGUAAAAGGGUUUAAGGUUUCUGACCUGUUGGAAUGAAGUGUACAGAAAUGUGGCAAAAGUUGAGAGGUAUAAGCAUUGCCAGAGGUUAAGAUGUAUCUUUGAUUUCUCAAUGGACUCGAGUUGCCUUUGAAGAUCCAGCCAGAGUUAUAGCGGGUGACCAGUGACCACAAUGGCACUUUCCUGGGUGGUGUUUCCCUGCACUCUCACCUAUCUUCCCCCAAUGCGGCGGAAGCACUGGCAGUGCUAAUGGGCCGGAAAUUUGCUCAAGCAAAGAGCUUCAACUGGACAAUAAAAUACAAAUUGAAAGGAAAGAUGCAAAGUCCACAAAAUUUCAAAAUAUACAUACAUGCACUACAAUAGAAAAUGGAAAAUACGUCCAAACAAUAGUCUUCAACUGGACCUUGAUGUUGUUUAUGUGCUGUGCAUAACGAAAGGUAUUUCAGAGCUGCCGUUUAAAUCUGUAAAAUUGCCGCAUUUUGUUUUGCAAUAUACACUUUUUUUUCCUUUUUUGCUGUUGCAUUGUUCGUUAUCAUCCCCAAAACUUUCUUCCUAAGGAAGAAGGCUUAAUUUUGACUCUCAGAGAGAGAAAAAAAUCUGUAUAAAUGGGAAAGUCGAUCCUUACGCCACAACUGGUCUUUUCGGUCCUACUAACUGCCUUUGUUUUAAUCGGCUGAAUGUUCUCCUCCUGUAUAAAAACAAAAGGAACCUACAAUAACAAUCAAAAGCACGUACACUUCGAAAGGGGUUCCCCAAAUGAUGCUCAUACUUCCCCAGCCGCAAUCACAGGCACUUUGAAGUUGAAUUUCUCUGGGAUUGACUUCAGGAUCAAGAACAAAAUCCCCAUUUGUCGUGCCUUCUUCUUCCAACCAGAUACAUGUCGUCUUUGAUUUAUACCCAGGCACAGUAGCUGUGACUGCACGUAACCAAGUAAAUCCAACAGAAAACUCAGGCAUCAAAAUUAUAACUAUACGCAUAAAUCCAUAACGUAUUUGUUUCCAAAAGCCUUCAACAAAUUUAUUGUCAAGGCCUCAAGAUACAGAUUGUAUACUCAUGUGUUGUCGAAAAGCAAAUACAGUUAUUAGGGCUGCAAUUCCUUUUUAUCCCUUCCCUUCUUUAUCAUAAAUCAAGUUCAAUUACCAAAAAAUCCAGUAGCGGCAAUUACACCAGGAAUAAGAACAGAAAAAGAGGACCUUCACACCACAUCUUCUCAUUUCAUGCCCUCAAUAAUGAUGGGGCGCAAAAAAUCCACUAACACUCUAUAUCUAGGCCAAGUUUAUUGGAAGGAGAAAUAUGUUCAACGCCAUGGUAGAUUUUGUUUCACCAAGCAACUAACGAUUACCAUAUGACAUACAUGAAAAAGUGUAACUAUGGAAAUGUGGUCUAUAAUAUGAUACCAGUAGUUUUACUUCUUAAAUUGCAUAACAUUUCCUCUUUUUCAUUUUUAAAGCAUCCAGCUCGGGAUGAACAAGGGAUGUAAUCUGUAAAUACCCUUAUAUCUUCCGGCGGGGGCAAGCAAGCUAUGGUAAUCCACAAUUGCUCUGCUAGCUUGAACCUGCCAGUCAAAAAGAUGAGCCAUUGGUUUACAUGUAGUCCUCUUCAGCUUAUCAAAUAAUGUAAAACAGCUAACUGACCAAAAAGGUAUAACAAAUUAUGAAAUAAACGGAAAGGUGUAGCAAGAAUAAGUGUCACUCCAAUGUUACCCAGUUUUCUUUUGUUUGGAAAUGUACUUAUCAAACAGACCGUUUUGUCAUUUAUUUCUAUCAUUUACUCACUAAUCAUACGGCUGGAAAAUAUCCCAACAAUUCUCUAGGCUACUCAACAGGGUUUUGACCAACUAUUCAAUUUGAUUCUAAGACUUCAGUCCAAUCUCACAUCUCAAACUGAAGCCAUAUUAUACAAUCCUAAUAGGAAAAACGACCUAUCCCUCAAUUUGAAGAAUAAAAUGAAAGUUCGUCAACAUACCUUGGAAUUUAUUCCUUCGAUUGCAAUAAAGCCAGGUAACGGCCUACCACCAUCUGAUGAAAGGAUCCUUCCAUAUACUCCUAGCUAAAGGGUAUAAGUUGAGUGUAGUUAAACGAUAUCACACCCAUCUACAAUUAAACGUUUGAAAUAUCUGAAAUGGUGUCAUAGGAGAAUUUUUGCUCUAAAUGUCAAAUGUUUCACACAGAGGAAGUUAUUUCGAGAAUACUUAAAAUGCUAUGCACUUAUGAUUACUCUUCUCAUGAUCAAAACAACAUGUUGUUUUGAUCAUGAGACAACACGUCAAACAGCUAAAUUAUACCUAUAAUAAGUUGUAAUGUUUCAAGCCAUCAUACCAGAAAGCUCCAUUUGUAAUGCCUCCCUCAAAUUCCUUGCUCAAUGACACAUUGUAGUGAGAGCGACUGUAUACACUUGCUAAGAACCAGAAUGUCUCGUCAUCCGGACAUGCAAGAUAAUCUUUCCCGUAAUUUAAUUUCGAUCAAAAGACGAGUAUGUGCAAAAUAAAAAUUUAUAAGCAUUAGCAUAUAAAUUCUGGGAUAGUGUUACUUUGACCUUACACAUAUUGUUAGGCACCAUUCGAAAAUCCAUAAUCAUAUUAGAAGUAAUCGGCAAUGUUCAUAACAUUACGGUAACAGUUUAAGACCUAAUACUGACAUCAUCAUGCUUGUUUCACACUAUAAAAGAAACAUUUAAAAACCUGAACACAUUGAGCAUCAUAGGUAAAAUUGAAUAAUGAUCAAAACGUACACUCACACUGAGGCCAACGUACAGCCGGAAGAAGUCUAUUGGAAAUGAAUGAAGACAAUUAUCAAUAAGCAUGGUUCAGCGCAGAACUUUUAUGGAUGUAAAUUGAUUACCUUUUAUCCUAUGUGCCAUCCCAUGGAUAAUUUGCAACAAGGGAAACCUGUGAACCACAAAAGAAUUGGUAAUGACUAAUUUCUCCACAUCUGAAUCAAGGAAUCCAGUAGCUAAGAUAGAGAACCACCUGUUAGAAUCAAAAAAAAAAAAUUAAAAAAAAAAUCCUUUGAUUUCUCAGGAACCAAACGGUAGUUAAUUAUGAUCACAGAUAGAUUUUCAACUUCCAAAAACAACCAAGAAACUAAAUGAACACAGAUGCAAAUGAACACAUAAUAUAAAAUGCAUACAAAUAUCUAUAUAUAUAUAUAUAUAUAUAGCACAGACGAGGAGAUGGGGACCUGGAGGGUAGGAAGUAUGAAGGCCGCCUCUGGCAGUAGCAGGACGAAGAAAAGAGGAGAAGUUGGGAGAGAGGAAGAGGAUGGAAAGAGCAAGCUCCAUUCUGUGAUCUUUGAGGUUGACUAUGAAGACGAUGGAGUUGGAUUCAGGAAGCCAUUGUUGGAACUUGGAAGGAGUUAAAGAAGAUGAAAACGUAACGACGAAGAUCGGAGAUCCUGGAUCGGAGAUCCUGGAUCGCCCGAAAAUGGGCUGUAAAUUCCAAUGGGAACAAAGAAACGGGGACUUCGAUGUAUGGGUUGCAAAUGGAUCUCGGCCCAUUUAGUAAACAACUGUUGUUUGGGCCUAAAUAAGCCAUCAAACCUAACCGGAUGAACCGUUGAAGCCGCCCGAAAAAAAACUAAUUAAAACCUGGGACGUUUUGAUAUAAGCAUCUAAGUUUUCAAUUCUAUAGACCACACAUGUGUUGGUUUUAGAGAUUUAAUUAAACAUUUUUACUACAAAUGUGGGAGUCUCAUCUAUCAUACCUAUCCCUUAUUUGUACCAAAAUUAUAGAUCUUACCACGGCCUUAAGUCUUCACGUCAGGAAAAAAAAAAGGCAGAGAUAUUGAAACAAAUUUUUUCCUACAAUCUAGCUCCUUUAAUUCCCUUUAAAGAUAAUUAUACAAAAAAAUGAUUAUAUACAAUUUAUUAAGGAAUAAAAUACCCUGCCGUUUGAUUUUUUUUUCCUCUCAAUGAAGAAAUAAAAUAACAUUUAAUAUAUUUGUAGUAAUCCAUAUAUAAAUUUUUGUAGUAAUUCAUAUAAGAAAAUAACAUCGAGAAUAAUAUAAAUGUACCAAUAAAAAAAUAUAUAUGAAUGAAAACAAACCUACUAAAACCAGAAAUAAACGUACUAGUAAACAAUGUUGAAGACCAAAAGUAAAAUGUACCAAUCAACGAUAUAUAUAAUAUUAAUCGUACCCAUAUGAUACUAAAUGGGACAAUGCAUAAUGUAUACAAAAACAAUCGUAACAAAAUCGUGAAAAAAACCUAUCAAUCAACGAGAACAAAACUAAACGUAGCCGGAAGCUAAAACUAAACGUACUGAAAGCUAAAACAAAACGUACCAAUCUAUGUACACCCAAAAAUUAAAAAUAAAUGUACCAAUCAAUACAAAACCAAUAUAUGAUAACCAACAAUAAGCGUACCAUUAUCACUAAUCAACAAUAUGUACAAAUUCAAAUGUAUACAAAAUAAUUAUCUAACAAAAAGUAUACUAAACAAUAAAGAAACAAAAAAAUCUAAGCAUCCAUCAUUUCAAUUAUUUUUUCAAUUUUUAGAUAAAAAAAAUGUUUUUAACGGAAAAAAAAAAUUAAAAGAGAUAAUUGGAUAAAUAUGUUGAGCAAAAAAACCAAAAUUAUCUCCUAAAAAAGAGUCCACAACUCCUAAAAUACAUGAAUAAAAAAAUGGCCGGAUAAAAAAAAUUCUCUCAACUAAUUAAAAGAACAAAUUUAGAAAUCAAUAUGUAAAAUUUUAAUUUAAGAAUUACAAUUAUUAUUUUUAAUUUAAAAAAAAAAACUAAUGUGACCUAAUGUACCAAAGUGCCUUGAUCAAAAUUUUAAAAGGCAUAAAUGUUUAAUAAAAAAAUUCAAAUUUUGAGCAUUUAAAUCUAAUUAACUCUUUUUUCAUAGACAACAAUACUUUACAUCAUAGGGUUUGAAUUAAAUUGAAGAGAAAUGUCACUAACUAUAUUAGUAGUGACAAAAUUGAUUUUGGAAGUAGUUGUCUAUUUGUGAGGGGAUUUACGACAUUUUGAAUGUAAUUAUGUAAAUUUUCUCCUGUAUUUACUAAUUAGUAAGGCAUUUGAAAAAACAUUAAUUAUUCUUUAAAAUUCGUUAUCAAAUACCUAAAAAUCGGAAAGCAUAUUUAGUAAGGUGCCAUUUGAUCCGGUUCUCUUUUCUUACUUUUCAUAUUUCUAAGUUCUUUCAUUCCUUGUCAUUCAAUACUACGGUCUUGUGGUAUUCAUCUUCACUUAGAAGUGAGAGGUCUUAGGUUCAAAUCUCAUAGAUGGCGAAUUCAAUAUCAAAUUAGGUUUGCCCAUUGUCACAUCGUGGCCUGGGCUCCACCACAUCCCGGGUUUGACUCCGCCGUAGCACGAUAUUGUCCGUUUUGGGCCCCGACCACGCCCUCACGGUUUUGUUUCUGGGAAUUCACACAAGAACUUCAUAGUGGGUCAUCCAUCCUGGGAUUCUCUUGUGAGAACUCGCUUAACUUCGGAGUUCCUACGAAAUCCGAAGCCAGUGAGCUCCCAAAAUGCCUCGUGCUAAAUGAGGUUGGCAUGUACAUAUAAGGCAUAGAGGAUCCACUCCCCUGGGCGAUGUGAGAUCUAACAACCAUUGUGUGGCUUAACCGAACUCUCAUUCCCCUUAACGUAAAACUAUAUCGAUGUACUCAAAAAGUUAUUUCAUUCCCUUAUUUUCUCAUUUAUGAUAAGUAAAUAUUGAAUUAAGAUAUAUGGAUCCAAUAUUGCAUAUCGUGUUUAUUUCGUUUUCCUACCUUUCAGUUGGUCCAACUAGGUCCGAAAGUACUCAUAAGGUAAAGUAAGGCUCAAGGAAUACAUAGUGUUCACAACAUCAUAAAAAUAAUAAGGAAAUACAAUGGAGGGGUUUAGUAGAGAGCCUUGUGGCGUAGUAAACAACAAUUUAGGUCAUGAGGACUAGAGGCAAUGUUGACCAACUUCUUAUGUCAAGUUUCAGGGGGUAAAAAUGAUCAAAAUCGAGUUGCAAGAGGCUAAGUAGUGCGAAUUAUGAGUCUAAGGGAGUAAAGUGGCGAUUUUGAGUUACAUGGAGCAAAGUGAGAUUAAAAUCAAGGGUGUAACUAAAAAUAAGCCCAUUUGUUAACUCUCUUGGUUUGAUCAUGUAAUUUAAAUGUUGUUUGGUUAUUUUUCUAAAUUUCCUAAUAAAUAUUGGAAGGCAAACAAACUCAUAAAUCAUUAUGCAUUGUGUUAGUGAAUCAUGUUGAAAACAAGUCAAUCCUAUUUAGGUUAUGUACAAGGAAGGGUACAUGAAUCCUGCUCUAGAUGUUUCAAUAUGUCAUCAAAUAGUUUGGAUUGCAAUUGUCUCUGAAUCAAUUGAGGUUCUACUAUAAAACCAAUUGGCUAUAUGGAGAGUAGUCUAACUACUUAUAAACUCAUGCAAGGUCCUUUCUCCCAUCAAUGUAUGACUCAUUCUCAACAUGCCCCUCAUGUGUGUCAAUUUUUCAAGUCUAACACGUGGAUAACACAACUGGGUGACAUCAAGCAUGUGUGGUCGUUUUACCGUUUGACUUCACACGUGAGACAACUUGUUCUGGAACUAUGAAGAAAUUGAGGUUCCACCAUAAAACUAAUUGGUUGUAUACAGAGUAGCCCAACUACAGAUUUCAUACCAAAAUCGAAAACCCUUAUCAAUUCCAUCUGACCCGGGAAAAAAUUUGGUGAGUCCUUGAGUCAAGGCUACACUAAAUUAGAGACUUUCUCGACCUUCUCAGGUACUGCAGAAUGGUCCAAAAAAGAAUGACAGAAGUUUUAUAGUGGGUGACAUAAAUAUUUUCCUCUUAACAAAACAAAGAGACAUGAAAUCCAUUUUAGAAGAAAGUUGGGAACUUUCUCGAAAAUCUUGCACCCAGUCACUCUGGUGAGGAGAAAUGUUAAAGGAAACCAGGAAGCUUCCUGGAAAGUUGGUCUUCCACUUUUUUUUUUGUGGAAAAUAAUUAUCCUUUCACUUUUGUCCUACAUUUGUUAACGUGUUCCUUUUAGCUUUUCCUCUUGACUGAAUAUUGGAAAGUGGACAGCUUUUGCAUCGGGAUUUCCAUGUUGCUUCUUUCAAGGAGAUUUACAUUGAUUGCACCGAAAUAUUAGAGCGUUGUGGCUCAAUUUUGCAUCCUAUAUUAACUUUGUGACAUAACAACACGUAAUAAAUUAUUUAUACCGUUGUCUUAACGUUUCUGUUUCACAUUAGAGGAAAAAAAAGAAAAGAAUGAAUGUUACUAAGUGUUUAACCAUAUCUUAUCCAUAGCUUCUCUUUCUUUUCUUUUUUUUUUUAGGACCAUUACCAACUGUUUUUUAUAAGGAAUUUAUAUGGUACUCAAGAAUAUGAGAUACUCCGAAUGUUUUAACCAUUACAUCUUUGUUUAAAAAUACAAAUAUCAUUCACUUAGUAUUACGGCUUAUUGAUAUUUAUCUUCACUUGUAAGAAGAGGUCUUAGGUUCGAUUCUCGUCAAAGACGAAUUUAAAUCACAUUAUUGCUUGCUAGCCCAUUGUGAGGCAAAACCCACCUCUUCCCUUAGUGUAAAUAAUAUCGUUUGCUAAAAAAAAAAUACAAAUAGCAAAAUAUAACAGUUAUAACACCUGAGUAUCAACUUAGUACUACGAUCCAGUGAUAUUCCUUUUCACUUAUAAGUGAAAGGUGAUCUUAAGUUUGAUUCUCGUCAAAAACGAAUUUGAAUCAAAUUAUUGCUGGCCGAUUGUGAAGUUAAACUCACCCCCUCUCCCUUUAGUAUAGAAAAUAUCGUUUGUUCAAAAAACAAAAAAAUCUGAGUAUCCCAUACUACAAACCAUCCUAAUUUUUUUUGUUCUUCUCCCACUUUAGGAUUUAGGUAAACAGUCAUACUAACUUUUCUUUGUCAAACAAAUAAUUCACCAUCUAACACUAUAACCCACACUAAACCGUGCGGUGACCACCACCACUACUACCAAUAGAAGUACUCCGGUUAUCCAUCUCUCUCCCGUUUAUUUCCAUUCCUACUUCUCUCUGUCUCUCAAUUUUCUCUCUCCUACAACUUUGCUGUGAGAAUUUUCAGUGUGAUUUUUUCUGCUCCUUUUCUUACCAUUUGUCACUUACACAUCUAUAUAACACUCAGUGUUCCUUUGUCUGUUUUUUAGGAACCGAAAGGCGUAUGCUGCCUUUGGAUUACAAUUGUUUCAAAUACUACUUAGGCUUCAGAUUUCAUACAAAAAUCGAAAACCCUUAUCAAUUGUGCAUCUGACUGGGAACAAAUUUGGUGAGCCCUUGAGUCAGGGCUACACUAGAUUAGAAUAGGGAUGGUUCAAAAAACCGAAUCGAUACAAAACCAAACUAAACUGAAAUUGGUUAGUUUGGUUUCGGUUUUUAUGGUUCAAAAACCGAACUGAAGUAACACUUAAAACGAUGUCGUUUUUGUAAUUUUGUCUUUUACGGGAGGACAGUGCGUUGUUGUGUAUAUAUACACUUGUAUAAACAAAUUGUUGUGCUUUUAUAUAGAUACUGAGGAUGUGGUUGUGUUUCUUGUAAAAGUGAUUAUCAUUAACAUAAUUCACUCUAUACAAAUAUAUCAAAGAUCAUAUUGUGGCUCAUACUUUUCAUCGUACAUACCGUCGCUGUAUUAUUUAUUAGCGGGCAUCUGAUUGACAGUAAGAGUUCUUUUGCAGAACCAUAUGAUCCAAUUAUCUUUCUGCCUAUUAUGGGCAGAAAUGGGUAAUUGAUCGUUUUAGCCUCAAUUGUUUUGGUAGAGUUUAAUUGAUAUUGUUGUAGUCAUUGUCUUUGGACAAACAUGUUUCAUGCAGUACAUUAUUUGGGUUUGCUGCUAAGCCUCCACACAGUUUGAUUUUCUAUUCCUGAUGAUAUUUUUCAGAUUUAAAAAAUAAUAAUCAGGUUUUCUAUAAAACAAAAUCGAAUAGAACUGAAAAAAAUCGAACCGAAGUUAAAUCAAGAAAAAAUCAAACCAAACAAUAAUUUCGAUUUGAUUUUCAAUUUUGACAAAAAACUGAAAAGAUUGAAUUUGAACCUACUCCUAAAUUAUAGAAUUUCUCGACGCACAGCAUACUGGUUCCAAAAAUGAUGAGAAAAGUUUUAUAGUGGGUGACAUAAUUAUCUUCCUCUUGAAAAAAAACAGAGACAUGAAAUCUUUUCUUAGAAGAACGAUAACAUGUCCCAACAAGGAAUGGAAAUAUGCAAUAGUCGGUCUGCCACUUUUAUGGUGGAAAAUAAUUGUCCUUCAACUUUGGUGUUUCUCUUGAACGGAGUAUUGGAAAGUGGACAGCUCUUAUAUAGAGAUUUCCUUGUUGCUUUUUUUUCAGAGGGAUUUAACUUGCACCAAAACCUUAGGUGGGACUUAAAUUUAUCUCCACCUCACAUCGUAUUUUAACAUUGUGAUAUGAAAAUACCUAAUAGAUUAAUUACACCGUUGUCUUGGCACUCCCGUUUCACAUAAAUAAAAAAGAGUGAGUGACUAAUAACCAUAACUUCUCUUUCUAUUUUUGGACCAUAACUUCUCAACCGUACAUCAUGAAUUAUGCGGUCAGAAAUCAUUUUACUUUUAUUAUUUUAAAUUAAACACAAAUAAUAUCUGAUAAAAAAUGACUACACGAUAUAUGAUAAACAGAUAAGAUGUGAGAAUCCUUAAAAUCCUUACCUAAUGCAUCCGGAGAGGAUCCGUGUUCAUCAAAAUAUAAUAGAUAUAACACCCUACAAGCCACCCUAAAUUUUUUGUUCUUUUACUCUUAGUUUAAGUCAUCCAAACAAUCAUACUGACUUUUCUUUGUCAACAAAAAAUUAUCAUCUGACACUAUAACCACACUGAACCGUGUUGUCACCACCACCACUCCUACCAACAGAUAAAACUGCGGCUGUCCAAGUGUCCAUCUUUCUGUGUUUUCUAGGAACCGAAGGGCAUAGGCGGCCUUUCAUUUUCUCUGUGCUGAUGGGAACCAAAAGAAAACCAUCCACUGCCUUGUACUAUUGGCUGCAUUAUUUCUUUACUUUUUUACAUUGGUAACAAACGAAUUAACGGAACAUAAUUUAAAAAAAAAGGAAAAUUUUGAAAUAGGUUCAAUUUUAUAAGCUUACUUUAGAAAUAGAUCCAAUUUUUAGUGAUUUUUUAUUUUUAAAAUAGGUUCAAGUUUUAGUUACUUUGGACUCAUAUCAAAAUACCCCUUUUUAUCCGUUGAUCUUCUAACAUGAAUAUAUAUUCUGGGGUGUGUUAUUCACACGAAACUUUAGAGUUGCGUGGCUCAAAUUUAUCCUCACUUCACAUUGUAUUUUAACUUUAUGACAUGAAAACACGUAAUAAAUUAAUUACACCAUUAUUUUAACGUUUUUGUUUCAUAUAAAAAAUUAAAUUUUUAUUUAAAAAUACAAAUAUCAAAAUAUAAUGGUUAUAAUAGUAUACCUUACUAUAGACCACCAUAAAUUUUUUGUUCUUUUGCUCCUACUUCAGGUAAACGAUCAUAUUAACUUUUCUUUGUCAAAAAAAAAAAAUUUCACAAUCUAACACUAUGACCCACACUAAACCGUGUUGUCACCAACACCCCUACUACCAAUAAAGUACUCGGGCUGUCUUCCUCUAUUUUUUAGAAAUGAGAAAGGCUUACGGUUGUUUAACUAAAUUAACCAAUAAGUUUAGAGGAAAAUUAAUGAAAAAAAUUUAAAAAUUUUGAGUCUUAAUGAUAAUGACAAAAUAAAGAGUAAAGUGAAUAGUAUCAGGUUUGACUUUUUAAUGUAAAAAUGUGGUUUUUCAUUAAAGUUAACAGUACCGUGGACUUUUCGUUAAAACUCCCUGAAUUUAAACUUAAAACUAAUACGAAACCAAUGAAUUGUUACAGAGAAGUCAAAAGUCUUACAGAGAAAUUAAAACUAAAAUUUUGACUCUUUUACUCCUACUUAGGUAAACAGUCAUGCUAACUUGAAGAAAUAAUUCACCGUCUGCCACUAUCAGUCUAUCACCAACACUAAACCGUGUGGUCCCCACCACCACUGCCGGUAGAAGUAGUACUCGGCUGUCCAUCUCUUUCCCAUUUGUUACAACUGUUCUGUGUGAAUUUUCAAUGUGAUUUUUCUGCUUCUUUCUUUGCCAUUGUCACUUUUCUCUGCCUGUGUAAGUUUGUGUUGAUCCUGUAUUUUGUUUUUCUGGUUUCUCUGAGCCCUUAAUCUCAUUUGCUUAAUGUACAAUUUCAAUUACCAAAACAAGAUUUAAAGUUUCUAUUUUCUUGUCACUGCUCAUUUUUCUUUUACUUGUUCAUUGACUACUAUUUUUGUUUUUGUUUGCAGAACCCAUUUUUCAGUAACUGAAUAUGAUUCAACGAGUUUAAACUGAGUUAUAGGGGACUGUAAGAUCAAAUCGAAUUGUCAAAUUUGUGUUGGCACUGAGUCAAAUAUCUGAUCGCAGUGAGUCCUUGUAGUUCCGAAUAAAAAUUGGAUAUUGUAGAUUACCAAAAGAAGAUAUAAAGUUUCAAUUUUUUUUUUUAAUUUUAGAACAUGGAUCUUCUAUUCUUUUUACUUGUUCAUCCAGUUACUGUUUCAUGUUUGCAGCACCCAAUUUACAGCAACUGUCUUUUCCUAUGGCGUUGAGCACCCAAAUAGCCUCUGCAUCUUUUCUUUCGAAUGAAUCAGCUCCUCGAUGGAAGUAUGACGUGUUUUUGAGUUUUAGGGGUGUAGACACCCGCAAGGGCUUUGUAUCCCAUUUACACCAUGAAUUGUCCAAGUGCCAAGGAAUUACGACUUUCAUGGACGAUCGAGAGCUUGAAGGAGGAACAAGUAUUCAUCCUGAGCUCCGAAGGGCGAUCGAAGAAUCGCAUAUUGCAAUUGUUGUUCUCUCACCAAACUAUGCUUCUUCCAAAUGGUGCUUGGACGAACUUACAAUCAUUCUUCGAUGCAUGGAAUCCAGGAACUCAGUUCUGCCGGUCUUUUAUCAGACAGAUCCAUCUGACGUCGGAAAUCAACGGGGAUGUUUUGCCGAAGCCUUCGCGAAGCAUGAACAAAAUUCGAGCAGUACCGAAGAUAAAGAGAAGGUGGUCCAAUGGAAAGCUGAUCUAAAAAAAGUGUCCAAAAUUUGUGGUUGGCACUCGAAGGAAUCUAAGUAAGCAAGCAUGAACAACUUUAAUUUCCUAUGUCUUAGCAGAGUCAAAAUUGGAUGCUUCAUUUAUGUUUUUUUGAUUGGUUAUUUCAUACCAUGUAGGAGUGAAAGUGAGAUUAUACAACAACUCGUCGUAAGUGUGUGGAGGAAAGUGCACGCUACAUUCCGGUUGUUAGAUUCCUCACAGAAAUUAGUUGGGGUUAAUUUUGGGCUUGAGCAACUAAGUUCGUUGUUAGCUCAUGAUGUCAAUGAUGUUCGCUUUAUAGGGUUAACGGGGAUGGGUGGCAUUGGUAAGACAACCCUUGCCAAGCUAGUUUAUGAUAGAAUCUUCCAUCAUUUUGAAGUUCCCUGCUUUCUUGAAAACGUUAGAGAGGCUUCUAAAGCAGACCCUACUCUAAUUCGUCUUCAAGAAACACUUCUUUCACCGAUGUUGAAAGAAAAGAUUCUUACGCAACAAUGGGGAAUCAAUUACACCAAGAGAUGCUUAUGGAACAAAAAGGUUCUUCUUGUACUUGAUGAUGUGGAUCACAUAAACCAGCUACAAGUACUAGCUGGAAAGGAAGAUUGGUUUGGCAGGGGAAGUAGAAUUAUCAUUACAACUAGAAAUGAACGUCUGCUAGUCCAGCAUGACAUAACAUUAUGUCAUAAUGUCAAAGUGUUAGAUAAAGACGCAGCUCUUGCAUUGUUUAGCCUACAUGCCUUUAAGAAAAAUAUGCCUGAGGAUGGGUUUUGGGAACUGUCAACAUAUUUCAUUAAUUAUGCUGGAGGCCUUCCAUUAGCUCUUGAAACUUUGGGUCGGCAUUGUUUAAGAGAAGGCUAGACACUUGGAAUAGUGUGUGGGAUAAUCUGUCAAAAAUUCCUAAUCCAGCAAUUUUUGAUAAACUUAAAGUAAGUUAUGAUGGACUAGAAGAGUGGGAGAAGAGAAUUUUUCUUGAUGUUGCAUGUUUCCACAAAGGGAAGUACACGAAGGAAGUAAUUAAAAUGCUAGAUAAUUCUUUUGGAAUUUCUAGUAGUAUUAUGAUAGAUGUACUAAUUGAGAGAUCUCUCAUCUAUCAAGAUCAUAGAAAAUGCAUAUGGAUGCAUGAUUUGAUUCAAGAAAUGGCAUGGACAGUUAUUGUUCAAGAGUCUAAAGAGUCUGGUCAACGCAGUAGGUUGUGGCUUUACAAUGACAUUGAUCAUAUAUUCACGACGAAUACGGUAAGAAGUGGUAUACUAAGUUUAGAAGAAGAUAUGAUUUCUUUUGACACUAUAUUAUUAUAUGAAAUUAAUUCGUCAUUUUUUUCCUUAAUUGUUAGGGAACAGGAGCAAUUGAAGCCAUAUCCUUACACCUACUCAAAGUAGAAGAGGUACGCCAGUGGAAUUGUGAAGCCUUCUCUAAGAUGGAUGGAUUGAGGUUUUUGGAAUUCGAUAAUUUGAUAUUUUCUUCAGGCCCCAAAUUUCUUCCAUGUUCCUUGAGAAUUAUAAAUUGGAGUUGGUAUCCUUCUAAUUUUCUUCCAACCAGCUUUCGCCCGCACUUGCUUGCUAAACUUGAGAUGCGUAAUAGCAAUCUUGUUCGUCUAUGGGAGGGAAAAAUGGUAAGAGUAGUUAUGAACAAAAGAUAAUAUUGGUUACUCACUACUCACCUUUUGAUUUUGUCAAAUGAUAUUUUAACACAUUAUUUUAAAAAAUAGUAGACGUGUUAUUUAAUUUUUCUUGAGUUUUAAAAUCAAGGAAUGCUUGAUAUUUUUUUAUUGUACAAUCCUGAAGGUCCCAAAUUUCUUCCAUAUUCAUUGAGAAUAAAUGCUAUUUAAUUUACAAAAUAAUCAUAUAUUUAUUUAUUUAUUAUUUUGAAUAAACUUUAAGGUUGUGGAAGCUAAGUAUAUGAUCUGAACCUUAUCGAUGAUGUUGUGCAGGACUUACCCAACUUAAAACAUAUCAAUAUUAGCUACUCCUAUAAAUUGAAGAGUACCUCAGAUUUAAGUGGUAUUCCAAAUCUUGAGAGGUUUAUUCUUUGGGAUUGUAAGAAUUUAGUUGAGAUACAUCCAUCUAUUGCAGUCCUCAAAAGACUUGAGGUUUUGAACCUUGGUAACUGUGAAAGCAUUAAUAGCCUCCCAAGUAAGGUUGAAAUGGAUUCUCUUGAAUAUUUCUUUCUUAAUGGCUGCUCAAAUGUGAAAAAGAUUCCAGAAUUUGGGGAGCAGAUGAAGAAUGUAUUGCGGAUUCACUUAGAUGGGACUGCGAUCGAGAAAAUACCUUCAUCAAUUGGACAUCUGGUUGGCCUCAGGGAAUUGCAUGUAAGGAAUUGCAAAAAUCUCUUGAACCUUCCAAGGGCGAUUUGUAAUUUGAAGUCUCUUGAAUGGCUCUAUGUGAGUGGAUGCUCAAAGAUUGACAAACUCACUGGAGACAUGGAUCACUUA